UGAGGAAUCAGAAUCAGGAACCCCAUCGUAAGGGAGAGGUGUAUCACACUGACGGCUUUCUUUAGAAAGCAAUUUUCGGACGCUCCUUCUUUGAAUUGCAUAAACCCGGUAUUUUUGUCUGAGAGUCAAACCGGGGCUUCUUUUGUCCAUUUUCACAUAAAAAAGUAGGGUCAAAGAAUGAGAGAAUAAGAUUUUUAGGGAAUUUUCAUCCGAAGAGGCAGAACCGGCAGCGUCUCGACCAAUCGGAAGAGGGAGCUCAGCUCCUAAAAUCAAAGCUCCAGAUGAGUUGACGAGACCAAAGGCGGAGUACGCCGCAGAGAGGAUAGGCCCAGCACUCAUUUCGUAAGUAAGUAAGCGAGACUCGACCAGUGGCAGUCAUCAGACUUGGAACAAUAAGAAGUUGGUGACCUCUUCCGUCCUUUCGUUUUUUGUCUUGCUGGAUCGGUUAGCGACCUCGGAAUCUGAAGGAUGCAAACUCCAACUUAGAUAGGCUCCCCCGGCCUAGUGCCAUAACUCUGAUUAGUAGAACGACGACCGGGAUCGGAGAGAAGCAGCUUUACAGAAGGGAAGGUUAGAAGUAGCUUCUUUCCUGAAUCUUCGAGGUAAGAGGCAGCAGCAGGAUCCGUUGAGGCGGGAGGAAGAGAGAGGGUUCGGGGCCCCCUUGCUGCUUAGUUUCCGGGGAGAAAAUACAAGCGAGCGGUAUGAGCUGCUGUUCUUGAAGGAGUUGCAGUCGCUCUUCGUCUUGCAGAAGUAGUAGUUGUCCCACCACCACCUUCUUUAUAUGUAAAGGCUUAUGUCCCAAUUUACAGUGAUUUAAUGACUUCCUUUUCUGGGGAGCCGCGGAAAGAUGAAAAAAGACAUUCAAAGGCGCAAUUCCAUAUGCCUUGAAUCGGAAGAGUUCCAUAACUUUACGAGGUGCGAACUUAUGUCCUGUCCCAGGAAAAGGAGAAAUGCCCGAGACUUAGAGGAUCGGGAUUCAGUUCCGGAGAAAGGCUCAACCUACGGGCAGAGGAAGUUGAAGUACGAGAGACUGAGUCCGCGCCCCCUUGAAAGCAAGUCUGAAUUUUGAUGUUUUAGAAGUUGCGAAAGUCGCUUUUCAAAUUCUUUGAACCUUGUUCAUUCUGAACUUUCUCCUCCUUCUCCUAUGUCCAAAAGUCAUGAAAUUCUCAAUAUGUGGUCCGAAUUCUGAUUUCCUAAUCAAUAUAUAAAGAAUAGUCUAUAUAUUCUUUGUCAAUAUUCUUUGAACCUCAAAUUUCAUUGAGCAGUUCUUCCCGUGUAGUGGGCUUACCUUUAAGACUCUUUCAGUUCCAUAAGACUGAUCUGGAGCUUUUGCAAAGAAGAGAAUAGAAUGGCGAUCACAAAGAAUAUGCCUUGAAUGAAUGAGUGCAAGGCUGAAAGAUUAAACUACCGCACCGUGGGGGAGUAAGAAACCGCAUCUUUGCAAAUUCAGAGCCACUAUUUUUCCUUGUAAGUGGCUUCGCGCCAUCUCGCCUUGGAAGAGAUUAGCCGGCGAAAGGCCUCGACUAAGAGACAGGCAAACCAAUCAGGGCAUCCAAUCGGCAGGGAGAGGGGUCGACGUGUGAAGUUUGCUUCUUUAAGAUAGAUAAUAGGGGAGUACUUGAGUUCUUGCAAAGACAUUAUUCUCAUUCAUAUAUGAUGAACGAUCAAUGAACAAGGCUCAAAGAAUUUGAUGCUCCGCGGUACAGUAGAAUCAGAGAGAGGAAGGAGGGACAAACUCCAAACAAAAGGCUCGUACGGUCCCCUUCGAGGAAUCGGAUCUCUAAGGAUAAGGGAAAGGCCUAACUAAACUAACUCACUCUUUUUCUUCCUUUUUCAGUCGCAGUGGAAGUGGCUGCUGAUGAGGCUCAAAGAAUUUGAGGAUCGCUCUUUCAUUCGUUACCGCUCCGUGGGUCGCAAAGUGGCUUAAAACUCCUAAACCUAAAAUAAAGACGAAAGUACUUAACUUAUGGGAGCCCACUAAAGAAAGCCUAUUAUCUUCUAAGAAAGUUCAAUCUUCUUUCGAACGAAGGAACUCAUAUUCAUUCAGCUAUAUACUCCUCCAGGACGUCGUCUGGACCCGUCCUCCGGACUUCUGAAUUCCAAAAAAAGGUGUGAAAUCCGCUAAAAUUGCCACUUUUCAUUAAAGCUCCGUCGGCUCCAUAAGACAGGUCCGAAGGACUAUCCAUCAGGAAGGCUCAAAGAAGAUUUUCUCUCAAAUUUGAAGUUCCACGCAAUAUUCGAGCAAUAUUCGAUACCACUACGGAGGCCCCAUAAGACAGGGAUAUUGAUUGAGAGGUGCAAAGAUCUAUGGCCCCCAAUUAUAUUAUAAGGGGUCCAGAUGACUAUCCAUUAGGGAAUUUGAGAAGCGCAUGAAAUUCAGAGGCUCAAUGUAAUAUGAGUUGAAUUGCGCCGGAGUCCGGAGGACCAAAAAGAAAGGUCCAGGGUCCGGAGUCCGGAGGAUUUAUCCGUAGGACCAUCCAUAUGGAAGGAAGUCGGACUAUCCGUAAUUAACCGAACUUUGCGCCUAGCCUCUCCUUACUCAAAUUGCAUUGAGCCUCCUCCGCCUCUUGAGCCUGAAUUAUCUCAGAUUUUCGGUUCAUCUUUCCAUUGAAUUUAUGGAACCCCCUACGCGGUGCAAUGAAAUAUGCGAUGACAUUCUUUCUUUUCUGGCUUCUGAUUGCAGCCGCUUAAAUUCAAAAAGCGCAAAGAAUAUUGCGUGAUGACUUACUAUUUUGCUCAUUCUUCCCGUCCUCCCUCCAUCCAAAUAAAAGGAGCCAGCCCAUGGAGAUGCUCGUCUUGAGCCUGAAUUUGAGAAAAGACUUCUGCGGAGAGCAAAGAAUUUGCGAAGAAGAAAGAUCUUUUUUUUCAGUGGUGUCAAAAACAAAGCGGAAGAUGAGUCUUAUUCCUUUGUUCAUUGACCUCUUUCAUUCGCGAGAGAAAAUAGACUAAAGCAGCCCAUUCUUUAGCUCAUUUAGAAAGAUUUGACUAGGGAGGUUUUCGGAUUUAAGUACUUUCGUCUUUAUUUUAGGUUUGAAAAGACAAGAAGAAGUUAAGCUUGAUAAAGUCAAGAGGAGGGGUCAGAAUGCUUUGAAUAGGUUGAAUAGUCCUCCUAUAAUUUAGUGGAUAAACAAGGCGCAAAGAAUAUUGCAAAGGUCCUUCUCAAAUUCUUUGAUCCUCAGGCGCAAUUCAAUAUGCGAGUAGGAGGAGCAAAGAAUAUUGCCUUCCACUAAAAGACUAGGACUGAGGCCUUCUAAUUGGAUCUGGUUCAAUUCCCACUCCAAAAACAACCAGAUGAGUCAGAAAGAUUUCCUUAAGAUAAUAGGCUUUCUUUUCAUAAAAAACCACUAAAGAGCGUGCCAAAUCCCAAUCUGCAACAGAGCGAGUAGCCUGGUCAACUACAAAAACAAAGGCUCGACUGAAAUUCUAAAAAACACGAAUAAAUAAGGUUUUUCCAUCUAAGGAAGUGUAGUCGCCAAAAGGCAAGUUGAACGAAGGGCCUAGGGAAGUCGGGGCUGAGCAACGGAACUCUACUGGACCCCUAUGAUGGGAUCGAACAAGCGCACCAAUGGAAGUCGGACUGAGUCCGAGUCUAAAAAAGUGCUCGUCUUCCCCUGUCCUUGCGGAUAGCGGGAGCAAGAGAAAGACGAUGUACCAGAGCCCUAACCAUCGGGACUGAGACAGAACUAAUGUUGACCCGACCUUGAUUGAUUAGAAAGAGCUUAGCAAAGCCAUCCACGAGAAAAGAGAUCAUUGUUUGGGCCUCAUCUUCAGCUCCUCCAUGGCUUCCUGGUAAAGUUCUGCUACGUGCCUAUCCUCUCUGACAAUGUCAUCACAUUGAAUAGCGUACUUCAGAAACCUUUGAUAGAAGAAAAAAUGGGGACGAGUGAAAAUAAACUAAUAUUUUUGAAUGAAUGAGUUUCGGAGUACGAAAAUAUGAUGAAUAGUCCUCCCUCCGACGGAGCAGCUUAGCUUAACUUAAUAUGUGACCAAAGGUCCAGAUGAGUAUAUAGCGUAGGAUCAAUGAAAUAUGAGAAGAAUUCUUUAUAUAUUGAUUAGCCUACUUUUCCUACGGGGUCCUCCGGACAGGUUAAUAUGGAUAUAAAGAAGUCAGAAGGACAUUCUUUCUUUUUUUUGGUCCUCCGGCACUUUCUCUCAAAUUUCAUUGAUCCUACGGACUAUCCAUUAUCAGAGAAAGAAUUUGAGAAAGAGGGAGAGAAGCGGAUAAGCGGAUCUUGCAUAAAUCAGCGGAUAUUGCACAAGCCGAUCUUGCUCUUUUGACCUGAUUGAAUUCCGUGACGGCGUAAACCAAUCCGCAAUAUUCUUUGCACCGCACCGUGGGGGAGGGCUCAUUCACUCGAAUUCAAGAAUCAUUAUUCUUUCAUAACCUGGAGGGUCAAAGAAUAUUGAGCAGAAUAGACCCGUAUUUCUCCGGACCAGAAACUCAAACAAGAAUCAAACUAUGUUCAUUUCGAAAAUCAAAUAGGACAAUGCCUUGCUAUUUCCCGGCUUUUUUGCUUCUAAAUAGGACUAAAUCGAAUAUAUAUAUCUAACGAAAAUUGUCUAAAAAUGACUGAUUUUUCAUGAUUUCUUGCUACUUCCCUAUGGGCAAAACCUAGCAAAAUCAUGUAUUUCCCUCCGCGAAGGACUAGUCUGAAAUCUAGCGGAUUCAUAAUUCUUCUUUCAUUUCUGAAUGAUUCUUGAAUUCGAGUUAAUGAGUGAAUUCUUCUUUUCUUUUCUUGACUUUGAACAGGUGCCAUGCAAUUAUAAAGGGUCCAGAUGUUCCAUAAGACAGGUCCGAAGAACUAUCCAUCAGGGAGGAUCAAUGAAAUAUGAUGGAUCCUCCUUAGUCGGCUAAUAAGCCAGUUAUGGGAGAUUCUUUAGUCCGCUAAUAAGUAGCUUGGGCUAAGAAUAGGUUGAAGCUCUUCUUCUUAGUCGGCAAAUAUAGCAAGUGUGAAGCGAGAGUGAGCUUUCUCUUUAGGUUGGAAUCAGUACAUCUAGAGUAUGUGAGGGGAGAAAGCGUCAAGCCUGGGAGCUAGUGCAAAGAUAAGCCCUCACUUCUUCCUUUCAUCUCGCUCGCUUUGCUCGAUUCUUAUAUGGAUAGUUUUCUUGCAGCCAAUCGAUAGCCUGUCUCUUAGUUCUUUCUUAUUCAAGAUCUAGUUACAUUUUCCCUAUCCAGUUUGAGUCUUUUUUUAGCCUAGGCUUUCUUCCAAUCCAAAUAGUAAGCUGGUCCAGGCUAGGAAAUGGCCCUAGUUCUUCGACCCGGACCCCUAUGAUUCUGUCUUCUUGCUUUGGGCUCCUACUCGAAUGAAUACCAGUCGAUACCUUCAUCUUUCAAUCACCGAGGUAGAAGUAGAAGGAAUGAGAACAAAAAUGCAAUUUCGUCCCAUAAAAAUAGAAUAUGAUCUCUUCUUUGAAUAUGUAUGCUCCACCUCUGCUUUACCGUAUCGGAAAAGAUAAGAGAAACUAUAUGUCAAGGAGCUAGCCUGGAACAAAAGAAAACUAGAAGUAACCCCCCAGGGGCUGGAAGAGAACUACCAAUGGAUUUAGCAAACUAGCACUCGCUGGUGAAAUAGUCCUCCAAAGCAGCAGCCUACUUUAGGAAUCCCCAAAAGCAUAUAAAAAAUGGCGGUCCUGUAACCAGCUUGUGCUUACUUUUAUGGAAUCACUGGCUCCGCAAAUUGGCCAAGACUGGAUCUCAACCCGAAGGGGAAAUAGAUUCCUUUUUUCUUGCUGGAGAAUACUUUUCAACUACAGACUUGGGAAGUCUUCCUGCUCCUGCUUUUUUGACCUUGGAUUGGAAAGGGCUGGAGGGGAGCUCCUAUACUAUGGGGAAGGCCAAAGCUAUUUACUUAAAGUCUCCUUUUGAAGCGAAGCACUAGGAAUGAUAUCCGAAGCCAAGAAGAAAACUCCUGCUCCACUGGGAAAAGGAAAAUAAUGGUAUAUAAGACAGAAAGUAUAUAAGAGCUUUACCAGGGGACCCCGUUUAACCACUUGCUUGACUUUGGGACGCCCUCCUUGAACUGAGAAAGUACUCUUUCUAUUGUAAAAGAGAAGAGAAGGUAGGGCAGGAGAAGGCAGAACCAACUAAAACUCACGGGAGUACGGCAACUCCUUAGAUCGUAUGGAAGGGGAGGAAUGAGACCAAUAGCUCUUUACCCUGCUGUCUGGUGGGGAACUUUCACUGGCAUUAACUAUGGGCGGGCACUCCCAAUUGUUGGCCUUAGUACUCGAAACUAGUUCGCAGGCUUGAGAAGAUGGUUAAACUAGCUAUUCUAGAUACAGGUAAUCUCUAAAGGGGGGAAGCAAAAAUGACUGCGCUUGCCCUGGCCUGAGAGAUUGAAAAACUCCUACUGGGUCUGCAACUCGCUCGAAUGCGGAAGGAAUUUGCAUAUCCCUGCCUUCUCACGCAAUAUGCUUUGCGCCUUGAUCUGUCAAUGACUUGAGACUGGAGAGCUCACUUCACUUUCUGGCAGUCACUUCGGAUAUACCUUUUGUCUUUGCCUUACCCAUUGUAAAGGAUACUGGCUAGCUUGAAAAGAGUGCUAGCGAACCUGCUUUUGACCUAGAAGCUGCUUUAAUACCCCGCUGACUUCAGAUUCAGAUUGGCUGGAGGUGAAGACCUUAGCAUUGGCUUACAAGGACUCCUCUCUCAAAAGAAAGGGUACUGGCAGUAGACAAAUUACCUACUGGUAAAGUCAAGGGAGGACCAGAGCAGCCACAUAGGGCAGUUUGACAUCGAUUGCGGGUAAAGACAGAUAGUCAGACCUAGCAAUCUAGUUAAUAAGGACCCCCCGGAGAAAGACAGCUUCACAAGUCAGUUCCCCUGGCUCGGGCUAUCUCAGGAAAGAGUUGGGAGCACAUUCUUUCUUUGAACAUUGAGAAAGGAGCGUAGCCACCGCUGAAUCGGAUUCUAUUCUUGGUGCUGGCAGAGGUUCAAACUAGCUAUGCACUAAAGAAGCCCUAACCUAACCCCUAUAGUCAGAGUAGUGAAGCAAGCGAACUGAACCAACUAACCUAGAUCUUCACUCCCUGGAAAUGAAUAGCUGACUGAAGCAGGCAUAGAUAGCAGAGGCAUUUCUAUCCAGUACUCCUUUCUUUCCAUCGAUCCUUCUUUCAAUGCUCUGAUAUGAGUUGAGUUUCGAGUAGUCGAUGAUUCGUCACAGGUAGGUCAAUAUUCUCCUACCUUUUCUUUGUUCUUUCUUCUAUGUCAAUAUUUCACCUUCUUUUCUUUCAAUGUAAAUGCUUCGGGUUCUACUAGACACAGAGCGAGAAGUCGUUCUGCUCUCUUCAGCUAUCCCUAACACACUAGACCAAGCGAACCAUCGUUGACCGAACCGUCUAACCUAGCUAGAUCUGAGCUACCUGGAUCCCUUUGUCAGUAAGUAAUUGAGGAAGAGUUACCUGGAUUGAGACAGUCUGAAGGAUUAGUACCCCCCUCGGUCCAAUUCCAGCUGUUCUUGCUCUCUCAGGACUUCCUAGGUCAAUUUCAUCGAGUAAAGAAAUUCUCACACAUAGUCAACCCAAUACUUGACUAUAAAGUAUUAGCUAAGUGCCUUCUUUUUUUUGAUCUCGCUACAAGUUCUAGUAUGCUCUUACGUCUUGAACCCUGUCUUUUAGACUAGCUUAUCUCCAGUAGCAGUGGUUGGGAAGAAGAUAUUCCCCUAUCCAGGAGUUUAGGCUUAAUAGAAUCCAGCCCUAAAUCCGCUUAUGAGAACUGAACUUCACGAUUGGACAGCUAUAAGCUAAGCACCAACUUCCGCAAGGACUGCCCUGAAGGAUAGGACAUUCUUUCUCUUACUAGAAAACUCCGAACAUUCUAAUGGCGCGACAGGCGCAAAGAAAGCUAAGCUAAUAUGGAUAUAAAGAACGACUAAGGACGGAGGAUCAAAGAAUUAUCUCAAGAAUAUUGCCAUUAUUUUUCAUACUUUUUCAAAGAAUCCCUAUAAGUUGACUUAUUCUCUACCCGCUCGGCCUCGUAAACUCUGUAUCAAGCCCUAACCCAACUCAGACUAUGAAACAGAAAUUCCGGUCCAGACCAGUCCGUCUUAUUCAAAACCGAGACUUCCGGCCGAAACUAGCACUCAAAGCGAUACUUAUUCAUCUGGAAGUCCCACAGCCAAGAUUACUCUCUCGUCGAUCCCAUGAUAAGCUAAUAAUAGGGUGAGCUCCCUCUACAUCCAGCCUGAGAUACUGAUUUUGCUAACUCUCAGCUCAAAGUCAAAUAGGUUUUAUAGGAGCCUGGAUCAUUCAAAAAGAAAGAAUGUCCUUCUGACUGAUUUUUAUCCAUAUUCAAUGAAAGAAUUCCUGCCCAUAAAAUCGCCGACUAAAUCGGAGAGAGCAUACUGAGUAUGAAGAUGGAAGACUAAGCUAAACUGGAAGAAGAUCUCUCUUUCUGGGUCUUAUCCGUCCUACUCUCUCAGUCUUGAAGUGACUGACUCUUCCUUCUGAUCAUAGUACUGAUCCUACUUCUGACUAUUUAUCUUAUUCAUUCUUCAUCGACUGAUGACUCGGAAGAAAUGGAACAAGGGGGUGUAGCGGACUCUCUCUCUUACUGACUUUCUGAUCAUAGUACUUAUGAAAGUGAACCAAAUCUUCUUCCUAUUCUCAUUCUAACUUCCGAUUCUUUUCAAAUCCUUUCCAAAUGGAGAAUUCUGACUUUUCUUCCAUAUUCAGGAGUUCAGUCAAUAUCCCUCGUACUCCAUCUAGAUAGAAAAUGGGAAAGUCCUCUUAUCGAUACUCUGCCAGACUCGGCUUCGCGGGCGCCUAUAUAAAAGAAGGGAGAGGCCUCUCAAAUACUUUGACCCUCUUCUCUUUUUUCGUGGUAAGAAAGACGGAGCGGUCUAAGUUCCGGAUCGAAAAUCGAGUUGGGGCGAAGCAGUAUUCUGACGAGGGUGCAGAAUUAUGAGGAUAUGCUUUCCCCGAAAACUCUCUUUACUCAUUCGAUCUGCUUCCGAAGAGGUGCUAGAAGCCGCCUCAUCCCUGAUUUCGAGGUGGGAAGCCGUGAGUCGGGUCUUUCUUUCUUCAUUCGCUAUUGCUUCAAGCAAACUAGUCAAAUACUUGAUUAAGUAGUUUCGGGGAUAGGAAUAGUCAGAAAUUCAUAACUAUCUUCUUGCGGAUCUUCUGAAAUAAGAGGUCAAAUUCAAAGAAAAAGGCGCACUCACAGAAGUUUCAGUCAGAAGUUGCCUCAGUCCUCCUUGGUCCCCUGAAUCAGAAUCAAGGAUCUUUCAUCCAUCCCUUCUUCUUUCUUUUGCAGUUGCAGUGGAAGUGGGAGUUUCAGCUCCAGAGGCUUUUCUUGAGGAAGGAAUAGCGAGACCCUUUUCAUUGAGGCGGUUGAGCUGGCGCAGCUUCUCCCUGGCGCCCAUAAGAGUCUGAAAUCCAUGAUGAAGGACUACUCCCCGGAUCAGGCAGAGAGGGUAGAGGCGAGGAAGCUUUAGCUUUGGAUGAAUGGGCUUGAAGCAAUGAGAAGAAGAAGAGCGUAUUUUUAUACCUCCUUCCAUCCACUCCUUUUUCCGCACUUCAAUCUGAACUAAGAAAAGGGGAAGAAGAAGAGCAGCUCUCCCGACCUAUCAAAUCUCCAUCUUUCUUUCCCGAAAGCAUGAGUCAACAGAGUAAGCAGUCUCGGCAGAGAAAGGGCUUGGACCAAGCUAUCACUCAUAUCCUAUUGGAGUUGGGUCGAUCGGGCAGUCUGUUUAGGAAGUAGCUGCCGUGGAAGAAGCGGCCUUUCCUUCCCCUAUCUCUGGGAAUCAAGUUCCUUCUUUCUGAAUUUACGGAUCGAGCGAAGACAUCUUGAGACCAUAGGCUUGAAUCCUUUAAGAAAUAUCCCACUUUGCCUUUCUUUGACUGAUAGAUCCGAUCGAUCCUUCUACUAAGACAAGAAAAGCGACUUCCGAAAGAUCUCUAAGCAAUCUCUAUUCUAUUGGAAAAGAAGUGGAACUUCGAGUCUAGAAACUUUCUUCCACUCAUAAGGCUUACGAAUUCCGAUGAAAAGAGUCAAUCUAAAAAAGACUGCAGAAAGCCUAUCCUCCUAACCUCUGAUUUAUGGGGGUCUCGCUCCCUCUUUCUAUUUCUAUCGGAAGACCAAAUUCUCUCUAUCUCCGCUCCGCUUCUUUGCUCUGGUCUCGCUUCUUCGCCCUAGUAAAGCUUCCCGAUUCUUUUCGGUAUCUGUCUUUCCUUAUUCAGAAAUGAAUAUGAAUUGAAGAAGAAAAAUCCCUUUCCGUGAGUCAGGCUCAAAGAAGAUUUCGAAAGAGAGAAAGAAUAUUUUAUUUCACUUUCUUUUGUCUUUGUCAUUAACAUAUGAAAUUAGGACAGCGACCCUUUCAGAUGAAAUGAGGUCUUAGGCUCUCGAAGGAGACGAGGUUCUCUUCCGAAAAGGGAUUUUCUGACUAAUGUAAUGGGCAAGUCCCUUUCUUAGAGGAGAUUCCAGUAGCGGGUCUAUAACGUAAAUCAGAAUAGAAUGAGAGAGAGGAUUGGGACCGAAGGACAGCUUCCACGCCAGGAAGGAAUUAAUAAGACAGCUGGGUGUGCCGGCCAUAUGUACUUUGAUUUUCUUUUUUCACAUUCAAACGGGCGCGGAGGCAAAGAAAGGGAAAAAGGAAGGCCCCAUUCCCAUUCAACUCAUCUGGAGCUUGAUUUUUCACCAUUCCGAAGUGUGAUCUAUUAACCUCCGGGAUCUCCGCGAGAUUCUCUGUAGGUAGAUAGGGAGCUUGCUUUCGAGUUCGGAAUAGAAAGAAGUACGAUGUCAGCGGCCCGGUCUCCCACUUGAAGGAUAGGCUUUCUCUCUAGUAAAGCUUGCUCCCGCCCCCCCUAGAAAAGUAGGCCUUAAUCAAUAUAUAAAGACUUCUCCGCAAUAUUCUUUGGGCCUACGGUCCGAAGGAGUCAGAAACCACAUCUUUGCAACCUUUGUGAGUCAGAAACUCAAAUCAAUAUCCCGCGUAGUGGGCCAUAGAUCUUUGCGCCUGCUAUUUAACAGCUUUUUUUCUCCAUAAUACUUUAUUAGUUAUUUAACAGCUUUUCUUUUCCAUAAGACUUUUCUAGCUAAAAUAAUGAAAGGCCUAUCCAUUAGAGAAUUUGACUUGCGACGUCCGCUUUAAGAGCCUAGGGAUCGUGGAAGGGUGAGUUUGCUUCCCCCAGUAAGCACGCCCUAAGAUGCUGCUUGAGAUCUUUCGGCCUUCUGUUCUUGCAGCAGUUGAAUAAGUGUGUCCGCUGUGGAUUGAAGCUCUUGACCGUAUUUCCUAUAAGAUACCGUACUUCCAGACAGAGGUCUUGGUUUUCUCCGUAGCUAAGGGCGGACAAUGAAUCCGUACUUCAUCCUCAGCGAAAGGUACCUUGAAGAAAGUCUCUGAAAAAAGGGAAAGCUCUCACACUUAAGAAAAGACAAGAUUUUGCCUAGGGUCCUUGAAAUCCCACUAUUUAGAGGGGACAUCCGCUCAGGAAGAGGUUAGAGUUGAAGCGCUAUCACUUUGAGAUUGAAAGUAAGGAAGAUGGAUCGGGGUAGGGACCACUAGGUGGGGCCUACUUUAGAUGAUAGGUUAGAACCUUCUCGACCAGUACUUCUCUAGAAAAUAGGUAAGAGAAAGCCUAAGGAAAAGAAUCUGUACUCAAGGGUCAAAGAAUAUUGACUUGAGGACAGUCUUCUUACUUAAGGGAUGAUCUCGGAGCAAAGGCGUCAUGGACCCUCUGGCCUAUGGGAGGAAGACAGGGAGGGGAUUGCCGCUCGAAAGAGAAGAAGGGCAUCAGCCAUACCUGAAGCGGAGGCAGAAAAGGGCGCUUCGGGAAAGAAAGCCGUCAGUCCGAGCUUUCUCUUUUUCUUUCAGCAGUUGCCUCAUCUGGUAGGGCAGAUCUCUCUUUAUGAAAUUAAGGCCUCAUAAAAGUUCUUCAUUUAUUUACAUGUAAAAGUGAGAAGAACUCUUUUAAGACGUUAACGGAUGCAAACCCCCUUUCAUCCUCUUCAUCUUUCAUGGGCAUUCCAACAAGAAAAAGGUUAGGGCGCGGCGACUCUCCUCUUCCUAAGUACUACUCGCAUAAGAAUCGUUUUCAUGAUCAAGAUGAUCAGACAGAGGGAUCCCGAACUGGACAAAGGUGAGAGAGGAGAGGGAAGCCCCAGGAGGUAAGCGAAGUCAUCAAGAGAAAGCGAAGGUUGAUCGUAAAAAACCUUUCUUUUCGAUUUCUAAUCAUUUUUUUUAGAAGAGAAAUGGAAUCAACCCCUCGUUCUACCCGUGGGGACGGUUGAGCUGACCAUACUAAACUGCUCUUCUCUUGUGACAGAAGAUGAUAGUGGUUCUAACCGCGCGCGUCUCACCCGACGCGACCGAGUUUCUUUGAAUGUGCGAUUGUAGAGCUUAGAGGUUCACUCCAACCUGGUUUUUUAGGCUGAAUGCAAAGGAAUGAACCAGAGGAGUCUUCUCAUGGAAUAUCUUUCUUCUUAUCUACUUUACCGCUGCAAAUUGAAGCUGGGUCCGUCCCAGGCCUCCUUAUUUUUUCUAGAAGUAGUCCUUUCUUUUCUUGGGUUCCGUUCAGUCGCUUUUGAAGCUCUUAUUGCAAGAAAUAUGGUAUAUUCACGAGGCGAAAGAAAUGGAUGAAUGUGCGAGACCGCGGAGGGGGCCAUAAAUUAGGUACAAUCAUCAGAGUUAUCGAAGAGCGGCUCGUCCAUACAAUACAAUUGGGCUAACCCAUGAAAGUCAAAGCAAGUCUUCUUUAUUUAUGCUGAAAAACUCUCCUCUGGCUUCGGCUCGAUCUAUCCAGGGUCUUUGCUCACCGAUACUAUGUAACCAAGCCCAAUUCUUUCUACUAUAUGGAGCGGGUUUGAGAGUUCGUUCGUCACUUUACUCAUCCAACGGGAAAGGUUAUGGGUUGCUGCAACAAAGCCUCUAGGUUCAUUACCCUGAUCAUGGUGGUAGGGGUCACCCUAUAAACCCGGACAGAUAAGAGAAAGGGAAUUAGGCGAGCUCCAUCAUCAUUAUGAACUGGGGAAUGUGAAGAGAGAUAUACCCUGAAAUUGGCUAGCAAGCUGGCUCAAGUGGGUCAAAUGGUAUGCUUCAGUCUGUUCUGAUCCGCUGAUAACGAAAGUACGAGAUCCGGACAUAGAUCUUUGAAAGUACGGACUAAAAGGAAGUUAAUAUGGACCUGAUCUCAAAUUCUCUAAUGGAUAGUCCUUCGGACCGCUCCAAAAUAAAGAAAAGAAAAGAUGCGCAAAGAUGAUCGACUCCUUAUUUAUGCUGCGUAGGAGGACGGGUUCCCCAAGAAUAUCCCUGUCUUAUGGCGCAGUUCUUCCCGUGUAGUGGGCUGACUUCAUUGAUCCUCUUGACUUCUUUAUACCAUAUUAACCUUUCCUUGGACUCAUAUCCACAGCGCACAGAUGGAGGAGGGGCACCAAGGCAGAUUGAACUGAUAUCUUCGGGUGUCUUAGGCCCUAGCCGCGAAAAGGCAUGUUUCAAAAAAAGGGUAGGAAAAGGGAGAAAGACAGAAGAAGUUCGACGAGAGGUAUGGGAGAGCUUGCUCAAGCUGCGAGACUAAAGGGAGAGGUUGCGAGCCCUUGCCGAACUGUACCGUCAGGGGAUCCCCCAAAAGGUCUCCCUAAGGCGAGCUUCUCUAUGGUCGAAUCCCUUCGCCUUUCUCUUGGCGAGCAGGUUAGUGGUCCGCAAACUAAUAGUCCAAAGACUAAGAUUUUGAAUACUACUUCCCCGCCUCAAUGAACAAAGGCUGAGUGAGGAUGAUCUUACUAGAGAAUAAGUCGUAUCGAACCCUCUUCUUGUAUUGGACGCUCGGGAUCGUUCUAUACUGGAAAGUGGAGCAUAUGAUACCAGGGCCUAGCCCGCUGCACAUCCCUUUCGAUUUCUUGACUCGCUUACCUUGCGGAUAAAUGCGCUUCGCUUCGCAUAGUAAUCUUUGUAAUAGUCUUCUUUUUUAGGUUCUACUUUCCCUAUGUAAAAAGUGAAAAAGAAGACUGAAGUCCCCUCUUUCAAUGCCAUCUCCUACUAAUGGAAUAUGAGUGAAUAGACUCUAUUUCUCAUAAUAGCUUCUUCCCACAAGAAGAGUGCCAUCGACUGAUGAGGCCCCAACGGAGACUGAGUACUCUUACUCUCACUGAGGCUGGAGGAAGAGACAAUACUAACUUCUCGCUGACUCUUUCUCGAUCCUUAUUAACUAGUCGAGAUGGAAGAAUUCCGAUUCCUUUACAUCGUCUUCCUCUGAUUCAACGACGACUUAUGACUGCAAUUAUUCAAAGAAUGAAAGCAUACUCCUAUCUUCUCGGGAAUAGUGAUAGCUUGAAGCUUCUACCCUAUAUUGGUCUACGGAUCCCCCUACUUAUCAGUCGUAUGAGAACCUACCCGCUCCUGCUUCCGCAUAUGAUAACCUCUUCGGCUCCGUCGGACCCCUUAUUCAUUUCGUCUGCCUCCCGGUCUGAUGAGAAUGACGGACUCCGCUUCAACUGCUUCCGAUUUAGCAACGGGUCAUUACUCAGAAUGUGCCCUUUCAGCUUCAAGGGCUCCGAUCCCUCUGCACCCGUAGGUCUCCACAUUCUACCCUUUAUUACCUUCGUCUUUUCCCACUAGUUCUAGUAUCGGUCAUACGCUUAUUUAUCAGAAAAAGAGAUUCUAAUUCAAUAGGAAAAAACAAGCAAUAGUACCUCUGCGCAUCCGCGUCGCGAAGGUGAGCCGCUAGUCGGCUUCCUAGCCAAAGACCUCUUCCUUAAUAAAAUAAUGUGAAUUUGAUAAUAAAAUAAGGGAAUCGUCUUAUUUAAUGGAAAGCCUAUCAUGUUCCUGCUUUAUUUAGCUUUCUUUCUCAGAAUGCAUGUCUUAAGCAAAACAUUUAAGAAUGCAUGUCUUAAGCAAAACAUUUAAGCGGAAGCCUUGCUGAAUUCAUUUUCGAGAAAUCAAGGCUCCAUAAGACAGGGAUAUUGUCUUGCAUUCGAAAGGCGCAAAGAAUAUUGCGGAGAGGACUAUUCAUCUUUCCACUUAUUUGACUCUUCUUUGAGCUCUGAAUUUGAGCUAAUAAAGCAGUCAGAACCUACUUACGCAACUGGGACUGAGACUUCUCCAUAUUCUCUGGUCGUCGCAAUAUUCUUUGCGCCUAACUCCUCUCGCUUUAGUUUAGCUCUCGCUUAACUCCUCCUCCCGUAGAAAGAGCUGCUUUUGAGUCCAUUUUGAACCACAUGAAAAGAAGAAAUCCAUAAAUAAGAGGUUCAAAGAAUAUUGAGUUAGACCAGGACCUGAGUACGAGGAUGCGAAAGGAGCUCGACGAGAAGAGGAUGCGCCAUCCCUUCUUGCUGGAGAAGCUCUCGUGGCUUAGUUGCGCCAAAGCAUGGGGGAUUUUCCCUAACAUCUGAAUGAGUGAAGUAGGGAAUGAUUAUCAGUCUUCUUUCCAUAUUUCCAUAGUUUCUACAGUGGCUGAACAAGAAGAUCUUUCGGCUGAGGAAUUAGACCGAGCCUCACAUCAAGAUCACUCGGAAGGAGUUAAGCUUGAUAAAGUCCUUCGCCUAAGAGCGCAAACCAAAGGCAAAGGACGGGUCGGCGCGAAGACAAGGUCCUCCCUCGGGACAGGAAGGAGGAAUGGAGUGCGAAGAGUGUGAAAUUGGGGCCUUCUUUCGCACAAGGGCUUGAAUCCGUGGGCGAAUGCGAGAAGAGGUGGCCUAUUUUUCCUUGGAAAAAGUCGUCUUUCUUUCUACUGAUAUUUUCCCCUUAUCAUGAACAAGCGCAAGAACUGCCUCAAGCACAAGGGCUACUUCCGAAACCUCCGCAACCCCCUCGCCUGCAACCGCAUCUCUUAGCAGCCUCCGAACCCCUUUUUGGACCUGGUUUGCAUCGCGGAACGUCAAAUCAGCCUUUUGUUAGGGAGAACCCACUCCGCGGUUUUGAGCAUAUACAGAACGCAACUUUUUGUGGUCCGUAAAUAGGUCUUGGUUGUAUGAGUACAAUUACAGUCGUUCUAACCGAUCAAGCAUAUGCGCUCCGAUCCCGUGCUUCGCUUCCUCAACUGAAAAAGAAUAGUGACCCACGUGACUCUUCGAAAGGCGUGGUAGGCGCUGCGAUAACCUCUCCUUUGUCGACUCUGAAAAAACUGGAAAUUCCCUAGCCAGGAUAGACAGAGGGACUCUUCCCCGAACUGAUAGCUAGCUUUCCAACUCAUUCCCUAGCUUGAACAAGGGCUUUCCUGAAAGGACUACUUCCCCCCUUUUCCGAACUCAUCAGACUAUUAAAGCAUAUUCGAUUCUAUCCUCGGUGCAACUUCUCUUCUAUCUUAUGCUCGGGUAUUUCAUAAAAGGUCAAGUCAAGUAAGAUAGAAAGUCAAGGCUCUUCUCGUCGAGCUACCUUCGUCUUCCGCUCCGUGGGGUCGAGCAACUUUCUUCCACGAAAGAACUGACUUCAGGUCCGGGUUAGGGCCAUAUCAAAAGAGUGAUAGUGCUUGAGCUUUCUUCUCGUGACCUUAAAGGCCUAAGAACCUUGAGUAGAAAGAAGGCAUCUUAUCUUUUUUCAUGCCUUUCCUUUUUGAUCGCCAUUCUCUUCUUUGUUCUUGUAUUUUCUGGGGACCUUCGCGGCUUUCUAUUUAAGAAUGGCUUUUUGGUAGCGCCUCUUCGGAAGGGUGAACCACUGAGAGGGUUUUUCCUAUAAGUCAGAAUCAAGUCUUCUCUCUUACCCGGGAAUCCCGUACGAGGGUAGGGAGAUGGAAAGAUCGGAAGUAGGUCGCAUGUGUCUUGAGUCUGAAGUCGAUGAAAGGCUCUCGAACUCUAUUCAAUGAAUUCAGUUCUUGCUCCUUCGGUUAGUGAAUGAGUAAAGAGAGGUGCAAAGAAUAUUGCGAGGAGCAUGAAUCUUUAACGGUUCGGAUUCGCUAGGGUAAUUCACAAGACCGGAAAAGAGAGAUCAGAGGUUUCAAAGUAGUUUCUCAUAUCCGUCUCGUCCGCUGUCCCACUUAAGGAUCGGAGUUCAGAGAGCAUGUAAUUGGGGUCAUGACAUAUGACUUGGCUAAAAGCCUGAUUGCUAGCUCGGAUUCGCACGUCCGGCAGCUAUUCCAUUGCGGGAUGCUAACCCGUCCUCCGGACUAUUCAAUCUAUUACUUUGGAGAUCUCGAACGGGGAAGAAAUCUCUUGACCAAUAACUCCAUUUACUGGGCGAAAGAUGUCUGACUUUCUACCGUGAAACCUUCCCGCUUGAACCAUGUUUAGAGUGAAAGGUUAGGCCUUGGCCUGUAGAUCUCAUUCAAUGCCCUACCAUCCGAUACUGGGAGGACAAAAGCGACUACUUGGACGAGGGGAUUCCCUUUUCUCUUAUUGUACGUCCUCGCAAUAUUCGAUAAUUCAGGCUUCGGACCGGUCGAGUUUACCGUUGAGAUCCAAUCCCUAUCCCCCGAUGUUCAUUCAGGACAUAAAGAAGCCGGGUCUGAGCCCACUACGCGGGCAUUGAAUGAGAUCCCUUUCUCUUCGUAUCUCGAACAAAGGCUUUCAUCCCUUGUUGGGGGGAGAGAUCUAGGGAAGAAAGAGUGGAAUGAGUUAGGUAAGAAAGAGGUGCUGCCCACGGAGCGGUGAACGAUCACGAGAAGGAAGAAGAAAGCUCAAGAGGAAGACUGAAUUAUGAUACAGAAUUUUGAUAUGAAUUAGGCUAAGUCAAAGUUGCUUGCUUUCUUGAACUCUUUUCUUUGUCUUUGGCGGAACGCCACUUUUCAAGAAAAAAUGGUAGUAUGGCUGGCAGCAAGAAAGAAUGAAAAAUCAGCCCAACGAAGUUGCAUCAAUAUGAAUCACUCUAGGGAAAGACCUGUUUUGCAAGGUUUUGGGGAAAUCGCUAUUUUUCAAGGGGCACUCAAAUCUGUCAAAAAACUACUAGUGGAACGCAUCGCAAAUUCUUUGCGCCUCCAAAAUCAUUGAAGCGAAAGGCUGAAUUCAUAUUCGCGGACAGUCAAAAUUCAAGAAAAAAGGCAGGUUCAAAGAAUAUUGACAAUGAAUGAAUAGUAUAAAUCCUUGUUGUAAUUUGCUUAAGACAUGAAAUGAGAUUUCUUUCUUAGACUGAUCCUACAGAGUCUUAUUCAAAAAUAAUAAGAUAAGCGGAAGAUUGAGUUUACGAACGAGAUAGAAAAGUAUGAAAUCCAUAUGAACUUCUUGGAAUGUGAAGAAUGAAGGACAUUAGGAAAAGCGGGUUCUUUAAAGUGCGAAUUCAAUGGCUGUAUUUUCGAUAAGAUUACUUGGGACAUAGCAGUCAAAAGCGAAAUCAGGCUUUUAGCCACAUUCAUAAGGCAUGAGCUUCUCCUUAAACACUCACUCACUUCUCCUUCAACUGGCACUGUACGAACCACCGCUACGUGGGCGUCAAGACCCUAUGGUCCUACUACUUCCCAGUCUCGGAUUCCUUCCUAAAGAACUGAAACUGCUUCCUACCUUCCUCGAUCCUUUGUUGGCUUCCUCUUGUUUUGGGCAAAACUGCGAAAGAAAGAAGUUGAGAUGAACAAGAUAAUAUAAGAUAAGAAAGCUCUUCCUCUUCGUCUUCUGUCUUCAGUUAAGUAAACAUUACUCUAAAGGUACGAAGAUUAGAUAGCUUGAUUAGAGUCCUUUACCGCGUAGUGGGCGUGGGGGAAGAUAGCUUGAGAAAAGAGAUCGAAGCAGGCAGGGGAAGAGGAAGACUACUCGUUAUGUUCGUGCCCAGACCAGAAAGAACUGAAAGACGGUCACAAAGACUGAAACCUCUCUUUCAACCACUGCGACUGCAGCAAGGGAUGCCCCAACCUCGGGUGGUAGAGAGAAGGAUGAUCGGCAACCUCGAACCCUUCCGCCGCAGGAGAAGGCGCAAAGAAUAUUGCGUGGGAAUUGAGUUGAAAGAAGAAAGAUCUAAGGAUCUGAAAGAGCAGCUUCAGCAACGGCUACUUCUGAAAGAAGAACAGUGACGACAUAAACUUCCGCAAGAAACUCCGCUUGGGUCCGGCCCGCGGCUUCGUUCUUCGAUCUAUACUAUACUUCGAUCCAAGAAUUCAGAGUUUGUGCUUUCCCUUGAACUCAGACUCCUUAUCUGCAGACAGCGGACGAUCCGACCCGCGUCUUCUUUUCAUGUGAUUUGACCGCUCCGACGGAGCAAAGUGAUUUUACCGAAGGACUCAAAUAGGUUGAAUAGUCCGGAGGACCCUCCCGCUCCGUGGGAAUUGAACCGCGGAAUUUCCGUGGUUAUUAAGCGGCUUUUUUUCGGAAUAAGACUUGAAAAUCAAAGUGGCAAUAAUCGCAUAUUUCAUUGCGCCUCCAUCAAAGAAAGGUCCAGGUGAUUUAUCCUACGUCCGGAGUCCGCAGUCCGCAGGGCCAAAGAAAGGUCCAGGUGAUUUAUCCGUAGGACCAUCCAUAUGGAGGGAAGGAGGACUAUCCAUUAGAAGGAUCAAAGAAUAGACCCGUAUUUCUCCGGACCAUAAACCAUAAGAAAACUCUGUUCAUUGAUUUGACCUUUCCUAGGAGUUCUUCUUUCAUUGCGUUUUCCCGGCUUUUUUGCUUCUAAAUAGGACUAAAUCAAAGAUUUCUAUUUAACGAUAAUUGUCGAAAAAUGACGGAUUUUUCAUGAUUUCUUGCUACUUUAUAGGCCCAAAACCUAGCAAAAUCUUGUAUUUCCCUCCGCGAAGGACUAGUCUGAAAUCUCCCAUAUUCACCUCUUUCUUUUUCAUUCCCAUUUUUUUCUUCUUUCAUUAUCGUUAAUGAGCUUCUUUUCGUCAAUAUUCUAUAUUCUUUUCACCUUUCUUUCUCCGUCCUCAGUCCUAUCCAUAUUAACCCGUCUGUCCUUCGGUCUUAAUACUCCUCGAAUAAGAAGCUGGAGGCUGGGUCAAGAUGAGAUUCUUUCUUUUCUGGCGUAGGAAUAAAGAAAGCACGGAGCGGGAAGAACUGGAUAACGUCAUUCUUUUCAUAUUUCUAGAGUAAGCGAAAGCGAAGCGCUAUGCCGGCGGUCUUUGAUCUCUCAUUUCAUUCAUAACGAAAAGAGCUGGCCGAAAGCUAUCUAUUUUAGGGUUCUUCCUUAUUCCCUUACUUGAUGGAAUGAGUCACUUCCAGAGAGAAUGAGACCUAGUUUACGAGUAAGCUGCCUGCCUGAUCAUCGGCUUUCCAGAGGCAGUUCGUACUCAGCCAGAUCUUCUUCUUUCCCACUACGCGCCAAAAACAAAGGUCUAUAUGAACUCGCAAUAUUCUUUGGGCCUCCUACGCUUAAUCUUAAUAGGGGGAUGAUCUUGGGCUCAAAGCAUUAAUUUUGGAGAUUCCCACUAAUAUAAUAAAAGGCGGAUCUUACCUUCCCACUUGCCUCAACCCAAAACAUUUAAGCGGAAGCCUUGUUCAAAGAAAGAAUAUUGAAAGGUCUUUUUGGCGUCACAGGAAUGGAACCCACCAUUUACUCAAGUCAAAGCCACACAAGAACUGGCUAGACACCAGAGGUACGAUUCCCCGCGCCCCUUCGUUGAGGUUAGAAGUCGAGACCCGUUGAGGAAGAAAGAGCUUAAUAAGAGGCCCAAGGGUGGAGGAAUCAGAGGAUCGACCCACUCAAGAGGCAGCACCCUGAGGCUACGGUUCGACCAGCUGUUGCAGUCGCAGUUGAUGGCAGGGAUGGAUCCCUUUAUGUGCCUUUUGUUCUUUCUUUAUAAAGAGUUGCUGUAGUUUUCAAUUGGCUUUUCCUACUUUUCUUCUUUAUAAGCAAUUAUUCAGAAAGGAGAAAAGAAGAAAGCCGUCAGUCCAAAGGAGCAGUGCAAAAAGGCGGAUUUUCAGUUCUUUCUUCCCUCUUCCGAUAAUUCUUUGAGCCCUCCCCCAGUGCAAAGAAUAUUGCGAAGACCGCUCCGAAGGAGUCUUAUGAAACCCGGACCCUUCUUUUUAAAGAAGAAGAAGGACUAUCCAUUAGAGCGCCUCCGGACUGGAGCCUUUCAAACUCCUUUUCAUGAGAAAAAUACAGGGUUUGCUGCAGCAUCAAAACCCUUGAUUGAAGAGCGAAAUCCCUUAUAUGCGAGGCCUAUCAUGUAAUCCCGGGAAUGAGCUUGAACCUUGAAAAAGGGUAUGUAGCGGUAUUAGAUUGGGAGAUCUGCCUCCUCAGCAGGAACGAGAACAGCCACUUUCUAAGAAACUUCUGCAAGAACAUCUGGUCGAGCCUUGCGCAAGAUAAACUGGAAUAGGCCGAUUCUUAUAUGGGUCCGACCUGUCAAUAUUCUUUUCACCUUCUGAAAGCAUGAAGUGAGGAUCUGACUCCUUUCCGAACCGAACCUACUCCUAACCCGAUGAAUUAGGCGCGUCCUCCCUCUUUCGCUGACUUCUUCUGAUUCUGAUAGCUCUCGCUUCGUACCAGGUGGUCGUAUUCUAGUCUUUGAUUUAUGCAUUCUAGAUUAUUUAGCUUGGGGAAUUUCUCCUCUUCUCCCGCUACUGCCACUGAAACUACAGCAUCUUCCUCAAACUCAUUUAAAAAGAUACUCACUUCUUCAGACUUUGAUUUUAGUAGGUUCAGACGUCCCCUACUUUGAGAUUGGGAAUAGAAAGAAGAGUAGUUGCCCUAGUUCUUGAUCCUCGCACUUUCUUGCUCUCCGAGUGGGUCAGCACCCAGGCGCCUGCUUGCCAUAUCGAGGACUUCUACCUUACUUAUGAUUAGUAAGAUGACGAAAGCUAUGGAAUCCACUCUGUCUAUUAUCCACCUCCUUCAACAUAUAUUUGUGAUAAUGGCUUUGCCACAGCGACUGCCUCCCUAUAUAUUUGUGAUCACUCUGCUGAAGCGGAAACUGGGUCUCCCGCUGCUUCGAUCUCUUGUCUCGCUCGCCCAUAACCCUAGAUCUUCGGAGUGGUCCAACUCUACGAACUUCAACGGGGGCAGCAGACUGCAACUGAUCAUGAAAGGGAUGAGGCUGUAGAAAGAGCACUUAAGCGGCCUCCAUCAGAUCUAUUUCAGUUCAGUAAUAGACUCGGGAAAGCGCUUGAGGUCUAAGGAUCGCCAACUUUGAAUAAGAAAAUACCGCCUCAAUGAACAAGGGGUUGGUGGCCGGAAACCACUAGACCUUGAAGAGGCGGAGGCGCAAAGUAUAUUGCCUUCCGAUUUCUUUUGAAUUGCUCUUUCAUUAGUUCUUCCCGAAGAGAAGUUAGCUAGGCCCAGAAGAGGGGAGAGAGGAAGCAACCCAAGGAAGGAAUUCUAGAGACGGCACAUAAAGGGAACCCCACCAGAUUCAGCCCCCACCACCCCGGAGGUUCUAGGUCGGCAUAGGUCGGCAGAAGCGAGACCGCUACGUGGCUUUCUUUCUUUGUCGGUUCUUUCUUCUCUUGUUCUUCUUCUCAAAUUCUUUGACCCCUCCCCCAGUGCAAAGAAGAAAAUAAAAGGGACCAGAUGUGAAAAGAAGAUUUCCAAGACUGGAAGGAUAGAAGGCUCAAUGCAGAAUAUUGCGGUUUGCGUGAGAGGCUCAAUUCAAAGUUCAGCGGGAAGAACUGGUCCGGAGGAUUUAUCCGUAGGACUCUAAAACGGAGGACCCAAAGAAAGAUUAGACAUUCACUCUUUUUCCAAGAAUUGAUGCACUUCCAUAAAGAUCGACUUAAGAAAGCAAGAGGAGAACCGGAGAGGUUUUGCUGGAUGAGAAGGAUCGGCCAGCCCAAAGCGCGAAUCUCACUAUUUUCUACGAUUCAGACUUAUUCCCCUUCCUAACUAAUGAGUAAGCGAAAGCGAAGCGCUAUGCCGGCGGUCUUUCACUGACGAAGCGAAGAGGGAAGAGAAGAAGAAUCCUACGGAGGGAUCGAAGGGGCCAGAGGCUAGGUAAUCUCUCUCCAACUAGCUCUACCCUGGUCACUGGGUCAAUAAUAGGUCCGGUGGGUAGGUUGUAUUUUGAUGAUAAAUAAAGGAUAAGGAAAAGCUUUUCUUCUUUCAUCUAGAUUUAGAAGGACAAGGUUUAUUCAUAAGCAGAUCGAGAACGAAAUCCUUUCUUAGGACUUGCGGUCUGUCUUCAUAGUCGGAGAUCAUCAAGGUGGUCGACCCGGUCGAUGUAGAUGAUCUAGAUAUAUUUGACCUAUAAAGAUAUGCGAGAAUAUGAGGUCUUCCAGACAGGAUAGGAAGACCCCCAGUCCGCGCUAUCACUUUCAGAGAAUACUCGGGGAAGGGGUCAAGACCUAUGCCUCAUCUCAUUCCGAGAAUAGUUCGAGAUCGGCUUAGCUCAUACCUCCCAGGGACCACUUUCUUCGAUAACCUUUCUGGGCGACUUCCUACCUCUACUAAAUUGAGUUAUUAUAUUUCAACGAUAUUAUGAAUAAUCUUCCCGGGCUAGUCCAAUAUCCGCCUAGGCUCCGAUACUCCUCUUGCUUCACACCUUCCCGAUCGAGCAGCCUGGUCUCCCCGCUUGAUUCAUGAAAGAGAGUUCUCCUUUACUCCCGAACCACUAAUAUAGGGAAUACAAUGCAAAAGAGAAAUCCUCAUCGAACCUAUGAUGCUUCCCGCUUCUACUUGGUGUGGGAAUCCACUUCUCAUUCCCCGAAAAGGUCAAUCUGGUCCUCUCUUCGGCAACUGAGUGAGACUUCUUCCCCGCUUAGAGUACGCAAGACUAAGCUAACUUCAACGACUGCCCGGUGGCCCGGUCGGUGGUCUGAGAGCUGAUCGAUGGAUGGAUUCGGAUUCGCCCUUCUUUCCUGAACUCAUUGCCGGUCUUUUGGUGUAGAAGUUUCUUUCAAAUAGAGCGUAAGGCCUGAAAGGUUCUGCAUUUCUUUGACUUUCUUAUGUCUUCCCCUCUUUCGACCCCUUAAAAGCCUUGAUAUUAGCCUUGGCAAAUAGCAGCCUCCACAGGAAGAAGAAUCCGCAUCUUCCGCUUCCCGCCUCAAAAUCAAGCGGAAAUCUUCAACAAGAUCCAGUCCAUCAAAGAAAGGUCCAGGGUCCGGAGUCCGCAGUGCCAAAGAAAGGUCCAGGUGAUUUAUCCGUAGGACCAUCCGUAAUUAACCGAAGUAGGACUAUCCAUUAGAAGCAGGAUUCUUAUCCGUAGUCCGGAGUCCUACGUCCGCAGGAUUUAUCCGUAGGACCAUCCAUAUGGAAGGAAGUAGGACUGGAAGAUUUCUCAAGAAUAUUGAGAAGAAAAAGAGAUGAAAAAGAAGAUUGAAUGAAUUAUCCCUUUCUUGCCUCCGCCGCCGUCGCACGAACCAUUUCUGAUGGCCGCGUCUAGGUGGAUUGUGGUGCUACCAUUUCUUUAGGAUACCCUUCGGCUUCAGUCAAAACUCUUCCCCCUUUGUUUUUAUAGAAAUUGAGUUUGAAAGAGAAAGAUCUCAUAGUAUGGAAUUCACUUUCUUGCUUGAGUGGAGUUAUUUAUUAUAGAAAAAUCCUUAAAGGAAGGACAAUCGAUCGCACUUGGCGCAGAACCACCUAAGGGUGGCUCUUUACUCCCUCUUUACUUGCUUCUGAUUUUUCUUUCAUCCAUCUUCAUCCCCUUUUCAUCCAAAAAAAUAGGCGAAGAUUCAGUCUGCUCCAGAAAGAAAAGAGAAGCCGGCAGGUCCUUUCCGCUUGAUCGCUAACGAAAGGGCAAAGCCUUGCCGCCCCUCGUGCAGCAUAUGAGCGGAUCUUCACGAAAACCGGCUCUAUUGGCGGAACAAAGAAAGCUCACUCUGCCAUGAGAACAAAGAAAGCCACACUAUCUCCUUGCAGCUUUGCCCGCCGCCCUUCUAUAUAUUCUUUGCGCCUAUCUUCGCCUAUUUUUUGGUCCGCUCGCCCCGGUCCUUAGUGUCGUUGACAAAGGGGAGGAGCCCCCCUCUUGUUGAUAGAGAGCUUACUGCCCCGCCCUUUAUAGUCGCGACUAUUGUCAUGGAAAAAGACUUUUUUGUCAAAGAAGCAUGCUUCAGCCUAUAGCCUAGCAUAAUAAAGGCAGUCGAGCUCCGUCUAAACUCAAUGUUGGGUAAAGGCCUGUACUCUCUCUUCUGUAGAUACGCUAUCCCUUCUGGCUAUGGUAUGGGGGAAGGGAAGUGAGAUCUACCGAUUGAUUUCAUAUUCAAUGAGCGGCCGUACUAUGAUCGUUCGGGAGACCUGGCCCAUGAAAAUCAAAAUAGAAGGAGCACCCAUGGAUGCACUCCUUCCCUUCCGUACACUCGAUCGCUUUAUGUUGAGGAAUCAGCUUAUGUAUCUAGCUUGACUCCCCCGUUUCACUCCUUCCCUUCUUUAAGGCCUUUCACUCCUAAACCUACUCAAACUCCCAGAAAGAGAAAGCCUAUGGCCGAAACCGAGAUCUCUUUUUCCAAGUCAAUCAAGAAAUCGGCCAAUCUCGCCCAUGGAAUGGAUGAGUUCGCAAGGAAAGGACGACCUUAACUUAACGGAAAGAUCUAAGACUCCUCUCUCUCGCCUUUCUCCUCUAAACUAAUAAGAAGAGCAGCUAAUCAGAGAAGACCGCGUAGUGGGUCUUUCUCUUGCACGACUGACUUUGUCUUUUAUAUAAAUACCCUGACCGCCCCGUGGGAGCCGGAGCCUUUUAUGAAGUAUUUAUUAGGUUCACGCUAAGAAAAAGCCUAGGAGAACUCUGAAGAAAGGGAAAGAACUCAAGCUAGGGUAGGGUCAGUCACAAUGCCCCGUCAACCUGUCCCCCCAACUCUGCCUUUAGCUAGACAUUGACCGCGUAGUGGUUCAUUUACCUUCUGCCCCCUGAUACUUCUCUCUUUCUUUUGUCAAAGUCGACCGAGAAAAGGAAGGGGACGCCGUACCAUGAGAUCGAGUUGGGUUAGCCCGAUCGACUACUAACUUCUGAGCCUUGCCUUUCUUGAAUAGCUUCUCCCCUCUAAGGAGUGAUGCUACGGUAGAAUCUCCCAUUCCUAAUGCGCCAGCCCUCGGGCAUGAAGUUAGAUUACUAGGCCCAUAGAGUGGUCCCUGGAAUUGCUUGACUUCUGCCUAUCAUUACUUGAAUUGUGGCACACGAGUGACGGAUUUGACAGGUUUAGCAUUGCCCAUAGCUUGAGGCCCGUCCCAUUCUGUUUGAGAAUUCCCCAUUCGCCGAUCCUGAGUUUGCGGGUUUAUGAUUGGAACGUCAAAUCUCACUUCUAGGGAUAGGCAUUUCAUUCAUCUUCUUUCUUUCGCUUGUUCAUAUCAACUUAUUCAUUCUUAGCGAAAGCAACUUUUACGCCGACUCAGAACCUACUAAACUAAACUCGACAGGAAGAAGACAAGACAACUCCUUUACCGGAGGCAUCCUUAGUGGUCCAGUCUAAGCCCACGGAGCGGGAAGAACUGGAUCAAAGUCUAAUCUUUCUCUGGGUUAAUAUGGAUAGUCAUCUGGACCCCUUAUAAUUGGGGGCCAUAGAUCUUUGCUCCUCGCUCUUUGCGCCUCUCUCAAAGGCAAUAUUCUUUGCACCUCCCCUCUGAAGUUCAGUCUCGUGUCAUGAAUUCUGAGUCUUCGUUCUCGCCCUUAUCAAUGAUCUUUGAGCCUUGUUCAUUGAUCCUUAUUGAGAAUGAAUUUCAGAUCUCGGAGUUCGAUCGAUCGGUAUGCGAAUGAGAAAGAUCUCUUCCCCAAGGCCGCACUCUGGAUUGUAAUAUGGUCAGGUAAUUUCCCUAUGAGUGGAUACAGUACGAGCCUAAUGCUCUUCCUUCGGGCGAGUGUCCUUUGGUCGCUCUUCUCGCUAUUCUAGCUCUUUCAGUGCUUUCAUUCCUUCUUUUCAUGCCCCGAAAAAAUGGACCUUCAAUCCCGGGUUGAUGCUUUGAACGUCAAUCCUGAGGGGAUGGGUUUUGGAGUUUCAUCCCAAGAAUCGAAUCAUGCCAUUCCGGGUUUAUGCUUUGAACGUCAAAUAAGUAGAAAAGGAGAAGCGAGCCUCAACUCUAUAAAAAGUCCCACCGGAACAGCACGCAGGUGGUCUAUCCUUCUCAAGCAAGUGGUCUCGAUCUCUCAGCAGAAUUCCUCAACCUCAAAGGCAUAGCGCUCGCUUGCUUUCAAGAGCUUCCUUUCGUACUUAAGAAAAGAGGGGGAAGGAGCUCAAGACGCCCCGAAGUACACUAAGAAGAAAAAGGUGUCAAAAGCUCAUAUUUGGGGAACUGCCCUUUCGUCCUCCCGUUCUGGAACAUCUGAUUACUGAACCACUUUCUCAUGGCACAGAUGUAUUUGGUUCUCAUAUUCAUUCAGCCUUGCGCGCACUCAUUCAGAAGAAGGAAGACGACCGCCUUUCCCGAGUCUUCGGGGCAGGGGCUGUAUUGGUAUGAUAAGUUGACGAGCGACGACUUUACGACCGACGACUUACUUAAGCAACUCCACGGGUUCGGAGCCGGAAGCGAAGCCUGAAUUCAUGAUCCACGCGUAAAGUACAGCUCUAAAAGGAGUGGAAGAGCUCGACAGAGAAGACGAAGGGAAGGAGCUUCUUGGCCGGAGGUAACUAAGAUGACGACCUGAUUUACCCUCCUUGGUCUUGCUUGCAUACCGCUUUUUCAGUCUUUGAGUACGCUAGAUCUCUUUGCCAAGGCUUAUAGCGAGCCUUAUCACGAGUAGGAAAGUCCAAAAAGAAAGAAUCUCAUCUCAAUAUCCUUUGAGCCGGAGUUAGGCGCAUAAUAUGGAUUUCUCAAUCUUCAAAGAGCCUUGUUCAUUGAUUUCAUGCUCCUCAAAUUCCCUAAUGGAUAGUCCUUCGGACCUGUCUUAUGGCGCCUCCGGACUAUUCAAUCUAUUACUUUGGAGAUCUUUCUCUUUCUGAUCUCUCUUUCGCUUUCGUAGGGAUAAGAAUUCUCUCUUGGAAGCAUAACAUCAAUAGGAAUCAGUCUCGCUUUCAGGUAGGGAUAGGAAGAGUGAGUUUGAGCUAUUCUUUCAUGAGAUCCUUCGUAACUAGGCCCAGGAGAGGUGGAAAUCGUAGGAUUAUUCGUUAUUCCGCUUGGCUUGACCGAGUCUCUAUUCCCCAUCUUUGAGUAAGGAAAAGAGUCAGGAAAAUCCGUGAUAAGCCAGGCUUUUAGGUUAAGUCAUCAGAAAAAGAAUAAAAAGGGAUAGGAAUGAGUAACUUCAAGAUACUUCCUCUUUCUCUAAGUAAGGACCUCUAAGAAAAAAGCCUAGGGAGAGGAGUCAGAAGCUUCUUUCCCGCUCCGUGGGUCUGACUUAGUUAGUUAGGGAGUCAGUCCCAGUUUCAUAGGUUGAAUGAGUAACUUCAUGAGAGUAGGAAGAAGAAUCCACUUUCAUGGGAAUCUCUCUCUCUCUUGAGUAAGCAUGAGAUGUUGCGAAUGCUACAGAGGUUAGAGUCAGAACAAUAGGAAGCGCGAACGGGUGAUUAGAAGGAUCGGAAUAAAGGCCGGCCAAGCAACCCCGGGGGUAGGAAUAGUUCUCAAAGAGUCAGACUGCAUGAGCAUGAGAAGGAUAGUUAUUCGGAGCAGCUCUCCUAAAUCAAGAAUGCUCAAUAGGAGGAUUUAGUCCAGGGGUCAGGAUCUACGCGAAGGGUCAAAAUAAGAGGAAGAAAGAGAAAAUAGUUAUGACUUUCUUAUCUACUUAUAUUAUAUCUUGUCACUAUCGGAUUAUUUCUUUCUUAGUUUCAUUCUCUCUUUCAUUCAAAGAGAAUCAUACUACUUAUGAAAAGCUGAUGAACCACAGAGUUUCCUCAAAGAAAAGGAAAGCCUACCGUAUUAGCGGCUCUUUUCUUUAUUUGUUGUUCUGAAUAUCCUCUUCUUAGGAAGGUGCGAAAGCCACUCGACUGAGUUCUAUCAGGCUGGAUUCAUGAGAAGCUAUUUUAUGACUAUGAAAACGAGAAAAAGAGAAGAGCAGAAGAGCUUGAUAAACCCCUUUUCAUAUGAUAAUAUCUUAUUCAUUCGCUGGUGGUAGGCUUUCUCUCUUUAUUUUGAGCACUCCCGCAGCUUUCUCUUGAAGAUAUAAUCUGAAUCUAGAAUAAUUCAGUAAAGACUUCGUAAAAUAAGUGGAAGGCAAUAUUCUUUGCGCCUCCGGAACCGCGUAGUGGGUAAAGCCUGAUCCUUCCCCUCUUGGGUUAGCAUCCUAACUAAUAAAUAAGGGUGGAGGUCCUUGCUUUUCUUGUUGCCUCACUCAGCAGCCUCAUCUCUGAAAGAGAAUUCCAAAAAAAAAGGUCCAGGCGCAAUAAGACAGGUCCGAAGGACUAUCCAUUAGGGGAUUUCGUAGAUCCAUUGAAUUUCAGAGUAGUUGAUUUUGACGUAGUUUUUUUCUCAUAAGAAAGCCUUCUAAGAAGACGUAGUAGUCAGAAAGAGAAAGCCUAGGUUUCGGAAUCAGUCUAUCCUUUAGACCUACCUGGCACCAAAGACCUCUGAAAGUAGCUGGGCUGUCGCUGGGGAAGGAGCUUAUCUUCAGUCAUAAGUAGUCCUUAGUUUCUUGAAUGCCUUUCCGGUCGAGCCUAACCUAAAAAAGACUUCAUGCUCCGGCGCGAUAGCGAAAGGACUUUACUUACAGGAGUGCAAGGAGCAAAGAUCGUGGCCCACGUAGCGGUGCCAUAAGACAGGUCCGAAGGACUAUCCAUUUGAGUUGCGUGAGUUGCCCCACGUAGCGGUGCCAUAAGACAGGGAUAUUCUUUGAGAGAAAGGUAGGUAGAGAAAGAUCAGUUCGCCGUCCCUGUACUUCAUUCAAUAAGGCUCUUUCAUUAUCUCUUUCGGUAUUCAUUCAUAACCAACCCGACCGGAAAGGGGGAAGACAAGCUAGGGCAUUAUCUAAGAUAAGAAGGAAGAGGAUCAAAGUAGCGAGACCAGUCCUCCGGACGGGAAGAAGAAGAUCGACUUAAGUGGGAAGCCUCAUCGGUUGAAGUAGGGUCAGAUCGGUAGCAUCGAGAGCCAGAAAAAAUAGCAUGAACAGACCUAGAGGAAGUCCAAGAUUCAAGCAAGGGAAGAUACUGAGUUGGAUCCGUGGAGGGAUCGGAUAGGAGCCGUUUAGGACGCCUUUCAUGAGAUCUUGCGGAUCUUCUUUCAUGAGUUGCGGAACCUGGAGUAAAGAAAAGAGGUCUUGACUCAUAGGAAGUAGUCCCACAUAGGAAGAGGCGCGUAUUCUCAGUUGAGGCAGCGGAAUCAGAGGCCGUAGCCCUUGCUGCUUAGUCAAAAAGGUAGCAUUCUCUUUUUCAUCCCCGUCUCAGAAGCUUUACUGAGUUGGAGAGUAAGCUGCCUGCCUGGCCUGCUUCGAUCAGUUUCAUAGUCAGAAGAAAGUAUCUCCAGGAGUUUGAGUGGAAUCUUUGCUAUUCAAAUCAGUUCGCAAUCUAAUCGAUAAUUCUUUGAGCCCUCCGUUAGGCGCAAAGAAUUUGCGAAGGACCAUCAAAGAAAGGUCCAGGGUCCUACGUCCGGAGUCCGCAGGGCCAAAGAAAGGUCCAGGGUCCGGAGUCCGCAGGGCCAAAGAAAGGUCCAGGUGAUUUAUCCGUAGGACCAUCCGUAAUUAACCGAAGUAGGACUAUCCAUAUGGAAGUAGGACCAUCCGUAAUUAACCGAAGUAGGACUAUCCAUAUGGAAAGAAGGGUCCAGGUUUCAUAAGACUCCUUCGGAGCGGUCUUAAUACUCCUAACGGAGGGGAGGCGCAAAUCGAAGUUUUGAUGCAUAAGGAAAAGAAGAAGACCGACUAAACCGUAGGCAAGGAAGGAAAGCCUAUCCCCUCCUCCUACGUCCCUCAAUCAUUGAUUGUAAUAGUCUUUCUUCAUUGAUUGCGCUCCGUAGUCAAAUUCUUUCUUUGUAUAUUCCGUCGUCCGCAAAUUCUUUGCUCCUCAAAUUCUUUGAGCCUCUUGACUAUUCAACCUAUUACUUGGAGUUUUCUACCUUUCAAACUUCUUCUUUCUCUCUUCUUUGUGCCGUAGGUUUUUUUUAAUAGUCUUGUAAAUCAUCAAGACCUACGUCCUUCUACGCGGCACUAUAUAAGACUCUGUAGGAGAAGUACUUUUGAGCUCUUUCUGACUUUUCUUUCUUCAGUAUUUAUUAGGUUCUUCUUUCGAAGAGGAAGAUUCAGAGAGAAAGCAAGAACGAACUACCGAUAUGAGGAGUUCUUCUAUUAUGUAAUUUCUCAAUUCUGGGAAUCUUUCUUUUCGAAUAAAUUGAUCGAAGGGCGCUAUCACUCUUUUAGUUAACGAGUGGGUUGGGUAGGCAGACCACUAACCUAAAUCAACCUCGGACUCGUCCGCUCCGUCUUCCCCUUUCUUUCUGCUUCUGCCUCAGCUGAAAGAGGUACUUCUUCCCCAGCCCCGCUCGAUACUGACUUUUCCCUUGCUUCCGCCGGCCCUACUGACUAUUGAAGUGACUCAUAUAGCAUGGAAAGGGAUAAUGGAAGAGCCGCAAUAUUCUUUGCGCCUCUUGUUGGAACUCAUGAAAGAUCCCCUGUUCAUUGACUUUCUUCCGAAACCCUUCGCUAACUCUGCCUCCCCAACUGAACUGAGGCUUCAGCCGACGACCCUACUAAUAAUCUGACUUAUUCAACCCACUACGCCUGCCCUAUCUUUUAUGGUCUUAUAAUUCCACUAAAUCCUAUCUUUUCCGCAAUAUUCUUUGCACCUUUCUUUCGGAGUAGCUCCAGCGUAGCGUAGCGGUUAAAGCUCAAAUUGCAUUGAGCCUGUAUUUAUCCCUCUGUUAGGCGCAAAGAAUUUGCGAAGGACUAUCCAUAUUAACCUGUGACGCAUCUGGACCCCUUAUAAUUGGGCCAUAGAUCUUUGCACCUUGCCUCCAGGAAAAAGAAAGCAGGAACAUAAAAGGAAAGAAAGCCUAGCCUGAAUGAACAAGGGGGGUUCUUUUCCAACCUCAAUGAGUGAGGAAAGACUCAUAGCCACGUUUUGGAGGGCCUUACAAGUAAGGUUUUGUACACAGAACCUAAUCCAAAACCCAGAAAUUUGGUACAAUAGCCUUACCGUGAAUAGACAUUAUAAUGUCCAUUUGGAAAAACAAGAAAAUCAAGAGUUUGCUUUGGCUUUCGAGAAAGACCAAAAAGAGGGGUUGGAUCCCAUUAUGAGGAAGAAAUCUUUCUUCGUAGCUCUUAGAAAGAAAGAGCAGCGGAAGCAUCCCGCUCCGUGGGUUCUUCCUAAAUUACCAACGGUUACAGAAGCGGGGAUGAAUCUACUCAACUUUGCAAUAAUACCCAUUCCGAGGAUAGAAAGCCCUCCCCAACGGCGGGGAGAGCAUGAACAAGAAAAUGGGAAUCUUCUUAUAUCCAGGGAAGAGGGAAAACUGAAUAACUAUGAUUAUGCGCUAUGGCCCCUAGUAUGAAAAACCUUCCAUUAUACAAUGGACUAUAAGGAUACUUUGAAAUAAUGAGAAAUAGAAGCUGUGCCAAGAAGAGGCGCUUUCAGCACUCUUGAGAAGAGGGAAUACUACAACAGGGGACGAGGGACCGUUCCGGAUACUCUAAAGGGACUCCAAGCAGCAUUAUUAGUUGUCUGAGCAAUAUUCUUUGCUCCUAACGUGAAUAUGGAUAGUCCUCUUAUAAAAAAGGCCUACUUUUAUGGGGUUCGGUUCUGACAAUUCAUUAGGGGUUCGCGGAGGAGUUCUUCCUCUGGAUUCUCGGAAAGUCUCAUUAGGAAAUUGAAUACCAUCAGGGGAUCCCAUACAAAGAGCCUAUUCUUAGCCGGGAGCGGAUAAAAAGAAGACGAUGAUGAAGGAUUUUCUGAAUCUUUGCUUGAGAGGACUAAAAACGUAUUCGCCGAGGAAUCGCUAUAAGAACCGAGUUGACUUUUUAGUGGUCUUUAAAAGAGGAGUUUCCCAGAAAGGAUGAUUUUUUCAUAGAAAGAGAGAGCGGAUUCGCUAGCUCAUACAUCGGGAGAAUCUCAGAGGACUGACUAGGAUUGGGAAUAGACUAAGAAAGAAGUUCAUAAAUCAAUGAACUAGCAAAAUUGUAGCCCUUGUUCAUUGACUACUCCCCUACAAAAAAGAAUGUGAAAAUGACCUCCAACUACUUAUUAAGAGAGAGAUCUGAAAGAGAAAGCCUAGGGGUUCGGUUUGAACGUCAAAUAAGAGAAGAGUGAAUUUGAAGAUUCUUGAUUUUGUUGGGGAGGCAGAAAGGUAAAGGUAAGAGAGAGAGUCCACUCGACCUUCUUUAGAUCUUGCGGAAGAAGCCCUUGUUCAUUGAGGCGGUAGCAUUCUAUCUUUCAGAGUCAUCCCUCUCUCUUUCAUGGGAAUCUCUCUCUCUUGACUAAGAGUCAGUGGCCGUAAGGCAAGAAUCCGCACUCUUCUUGAAGUCAGCUAUCCGGUUAGCGGCAGGUUAUCAAUCAGUAGCUCGAGGAUAGGAAGAAAGUAGCGAGAGAGGGCAAAGCCGGACCAUGAAAGGUAUCGAUAGUCGGACUUAUUUAUGGAACAUAGACCACUACACUAGGCUUGAUCUUCUUCAAAGCACUCCCAACUUUUCCCUAGGCUGACCUCUUUUAUCCACAGGUUAAUAUGUCCUUAUCAAUGAGACGGGUACUGGUACUUCCUUUUCCCCUGCCUUACCUUCUACCCUACUUCGGAAAGAUCUCAUUCCCUUGAAGCAGCAAGGGCCCUUUCUGCCUCCCGUUCUUUAAGUGGGGGGGUGGAGGGGAGGAGUAUUAUCCCCUCGGUUCGGAGAAGCCUUUUUGGAUCGAAAAAGAAAGGUCCAGGUGCUUUGAAUAGGAAUCACUCAUAUUGCAUUGAGCCUUAAGAGUCUAGUCAAUAUUGAACCUUCGGACUGGUCUCGCUGACUUACUCAGUAGUCGGAAAGUGAAAGUGGAAUUCUCAUCAGUCCAAAAAAUCGCCCUAUACAUGAAUUUCAGGCGGAAGGUGCCAUACAUAAGACAGGGAUAUUCUUGGACUGGGAGCUCAGCUUGACUGGGUGGCUGGCAGAACCAGUCUUCGGACCUAGACCAUGAACUGGAGUAUGAAUCAAAGAUCAUGUGGAAUCCUUCGAGCCAAGCCAAGCCUAGUUAUUCUUGCUGUCGGGCUCCGCCCCUUAUACUUAUGACCCUAGCCGUCACGGAUCUGCUUUAACGGAUUGGUUUACGCCUAGACGGAGUUCAAUCAGCGGAUAAGACAGAGGAAGAGCGGAUCAGCCGAUCUUGCUGUUUUUACCGCGUAGUGGGUUACGGAUCAAGUAGUUCAAUACAGGAGGUGGUCCUCCGAAAUCAAGGCUCAAAUCAAGGCUCAAAGAAGAUUGAGAGUUUACAAAUCCUCCGAAAGCAAGGUGCAAAGAUCUAUGGCCCCAAUUAUAAGGGGUCCAGAUGACUAUCCACUAGGGAAUAUUGCGAGGCGAAGGACUUCUUUAUCAAGCUUGUCUGAACAAAGGCUUUCUGCUCGAGCCGCUUCUUUGCUGAAGUUUCCUACGGAGCUUUUGGAAUAAGACUGACUAAAAAGGAGAAGUCCUUCGGAGCUCUUUCAUUCUCUCUUUGUUUACAAGGUAUCGGAAUGAAAUCGAGACCGCCCACGGAGCGGGAGAGGAAAAGGAAACCCCAGCGACCAAGCACUUCCGCUCCCAGGAGACCGAAGAACCGCCAAGUUGUCGAGGACACGUCUGAGGAGGAGGCGGGCGCCGAUUUACCACCCUACCCACUAAUGGACUAUGAGGGGGCAGGCGAAGGGGAACCUACCGAGAACCCGAACCGCUUGACUGACUGGCCCCUUCAUACUCAAUUGAAUUAGGGUCGAGGAUGGAUGAAAGCCAAUCAUAAGUGCAAAUCGCGCAAGCGAAGCCGGGAAAGGGACCGCUGCGCAAGGACUAGGACUCGUGUCCGAGGAGUUUUGAGCGUGAGCUACCACUCAUGCAGCGGCAAAGACCCGCAACUCUCUCAGAGGAAGAGGCCACCAACCGCCCGAUGUAGCAAACCCUCCCUUUACUCAAUGGAUAGCGCUUAUCCUCUUUCAAGAGAAAAAAGAAGAAAUGAGGGGACGUUCUGAUUGCCAUGAAUGCUGCGCCUUCGAGGACAUGUACAAGAAGGUCUUUGCCGAUUCCUAGAAAGAUGGUGCACCUCUCCGUAUAGGGGCCCGUGGAGACUUUGACCGAAUUCAUAGGGAGAAAUGAAUAGACAUUUUGAUUGACCACUUUUUUCGUGAGCUAUGUGCUGACUGGAUGCGUACUCGCGUGAUUGAUCGAUGGACGGGGGAAUUGCGUGAAUGAGGAGACCGGCUUAACGUACGUGUGACCCGCCCGCUAGGGAAACUGGCUACUGGAUUCGUGCCCAGCGCACCUUACCGUAAGUGGUCUUGGGAAGCUUCAGUUCUCUAGUUGGAUUCUUUCUUCUUCUUUCUUUUAUUAGAACUUGGAUACUGCUUUGGAGGCGCCCGCUUUCUUUCUCUCUGGAGACUCCGCUUUCGCUCGGGUAGGCUGACGUAUACUUCUUUAAAGAAAUUAGCUCUUGUUUCCUGACUGAACUUUUCUAUUCGCUUGUUUGCUUCCUCGCUAAUCCGCCGCUCCCUUCCAGGAGCUACACCCCAUACAUCCUAUUCAGAAAACCCGGGAGCCGGUAGCAGCUACCGGCCAUUAACCAGAGGGGUUGGAAAGAAUAUUGACGAAAAGAAGAAUGAACUCAUUAACGAGAAUUCUUCUUGAAUAACCUGGAGUGAAAUAAAGAAUAGACCUCUCAGUAUCCGGAACACAAACUAGAAGUUCUCAAUGUGAAUUUCUUUGACCUAGAUUUUUCUAAUGGACCAGUUGCAAUUUCCCGGCUUUUUUGCUUCUAAAUAGGACUUUUUCGACUUUUCUUAUCUAACGAAAAUAGAUCAAUUUUGACUGAUUUUUUGUCUUUUCUUGCUACUUUAUAGGCCCAAAACCUAGCAAAAUCAUGGAAUUCACUCCGUCUUCAUUAAGCAAAGAUGUCUGAAAUCUAGCACAAAGAUGUCUGAAAUCUAGCAGAUUCAUAAUUCUUCUUGAAUUCGAGUUAUGAAAUCCUAAUUAUUCUUUCAUUAUCGUUAAUGAGCUUCUUUUCUUUUCGUCAAUAUUCUAUAUUCUUUUCACCUAUUCAUAUUUCAUUGAUCCUAACCUUCGUCAUCAAAUCCCCUAAUGGAUAGUCCUUCGGACCUGUCUUUGCGCAUCUUUUCUUUUCUUUAUUUUGGAGCGGUCCGAAGCCUUAAUUUGAUCGACUCCUUUUUUAUGCUGCGUAGGAGGACGGGUUCCCCAAGAAUAUCCCUGUCUGUCUUAUGGCGCGACUUCGGACGGAUAAAGAAAUUCUAAGAGAGCUUUGACGUGACGAGUGGAUGCCUAGUUUGAAAGUCUUGCCACUUGAGGGCUUCCACCCACGCUUCUGGCUGACUGUAAUAAGGGCUAAAGAAGGAUGAAACAAGGGAUAUGAAUGGAUGGUCUUUCCUCUCAAUCGAGUGGUGUAUUUACUAGCUUGAAGAUCAAGAGGUUUUUUCCGUAAAGAAAAGAUUUGGAAGAUUCGGCCAGUUCCGGGCGUAGUAGAAGUACCGCGUAGUGGGCAAGGUAGAUAAAGAGAGGUUUGCAUAUGUUUCAGACAAGGGUUUCGUACAAAUACCUUCCCGUCUUACCGAGACCAAGUAGCUAUCCAGGAGCCAAACUCCAAAUGAGAUGAGGUGCAGGAGUUCAGGAUCGGAAGCCUCUCACUGAAAUAGUAAGCGAAGCGCCCAAUUCAAGGUCUGGAGGUGUGCAUAGGUUGGGCUUUCUAGGUAAUGCGCUAUCAGGCGAAUGGGCGUGUCUGAACGAGUGGGGAAUUUUUCUCUUUCCCUCUACAAAGAAGGUCAAAUAGGUGCCAUGGGCCAUGAAAUAUGAGAAUCCCGGCUUCACGGGCGCGUGCGUAGGCAAACCCACUCUUUGAUCGGAAGAAAGUCAAGAAUUAGGCGAGACCAGUCCAUAAAAAAAGAAAGCUCCAGAUGAGUUUCAUUGAGUGCUCAUAUAAUUUUCUCGAUUCACUAUUUGAUUUUGAUUCAAGGACCCACCUCACAAAGGGAGUUGGUCAUAGGGGAGGCACACAUAGGAUCGGCGGUUCGGGUUAGGGACGGGUCGAGGUAAGAGGAAGCGUCUGCUUGACUGAGGGAGGUCUUCUUCGAUCAGCGCUGGUAAGAUGAGAUUCAGGCCAAAGAAGGCGAUUGAAAUCCAAGGAUGAAGAGAAAGAAAUCAGCCCCGAUAGAGGCUCAAGAGAUCUCAUUCAAGGCCCAUACUCAUUCAAUUCAGGCAAAGCCUCAACCUAGCCUUGUUCAUUGACUUUUCUUAAGGGGCCUUUGUCCUCGUCGGCUAUUCAUUAUAGGAUUGAUUAGAAAAGCGUGAGGCUAGUGAAAGCGAUCCUAGUCUCGACUUGGUCCCUCUCCAAACAUCCAAAAAAACAAAUAAACUACUCGUAGUCUUGGUUGGUUGUUUUCUUCCUCUUUAUUCUGAAUUCUGAUAAUUCCCUCUCGAGCCCAGUCCGCUUCCCCGUACUCUUAUUAAGAGAAUGAAGCAGACUCAAGGCCCCUUAAGAGAAUGAAGCAGACUCAAGGCCCCUCCUUCACAGGGGUUUUAGGGAAUAUCGCACUAGUUAUCUAGUGCGGGCAGGUGAGAUCUUUUCCAGUAGCCCACCACCAGGUCAUAUCUCUUUUUGUCUGCCUUUGUGCGAAAGGAAGGAGAAAUUCAGGUUUCGGCUUAUGGGACGGGUCAUAGACCUGAAAUUCUAAGAAAAUCGAAGGUAAAAGGUAAAAGCACUUGGAUUGAUUCUCCUCGCUUAUCAUCCAUGGGCAAGAUUGGCCUAUUUCCUUAUUUAUUUACUUGGAAAAAGAUUCAUCGUCUUUCGACCAUAGGCUUUCUCUUUCUGGGAGUUUUGAGGCCGACGGCCUGGGAGAGAUAUGGGAGAGCAUACCGAUCUCACAAGAAGAGCAAGGGAAUCAGCAAAUGGAAGAAAGAAGACUGACCACUCAAUCUGGUGGAGCAAAUUCCUAUCCUGUGGGUCCUACCGCAUAGUAAUUGAAUACUCUUUCAUUUCGGACUGCGCGUAGUUAGGAUAAAAGAGGUCUGGAGGACCCGUCCGGAGGACUCUGAUAUUCCACUUAUUUGACGAAGUUCAGUUAUUCACACACGGAUACCUGAAUUUCAUUCCUAUGAAAGGGCUUUCCCCACGUAGCGGUUUCGGGUGAGUCGGGUCUUUGACGGCUCCCACGUAGCGGUUUGAAGCCUUGUCUUCACAUCUUCUUUGGGACAUGGACAUUUGGAGGUUUCUUAUCUUUCUAAUUCUCCUCGAGGAAGGCCUUGAAUAAAGAAAAUAAUCCACAAACCAGAAAGUUCAUUCCACACCACUAUAUGCUAGGAUACGGCUUGCCUUUUUGGAUUUAGACUUUCCCAAGUUAGUAUGUUUUCGACCAGAGUUUUUCUCUGAGGAAUGGCAUGGGAUUUCUUUUGGCCAGCGGUAAGAUUGGAAAAGAAUCCUUCUCAAUCUCUUCGACAUAAAUCCUUCUUAUACGAAAUUCUUCAUUUUGCUAAAACUGAGAAAAGUUAUUAAAACUAAUGAGGUACGGAUUCUCCGACUUUUGGUACGGAUUCUCCGACAUUUCCCUCUAUAUGGAGGCUACGCCCACUAUUUGGGGGGAUUCGGAGGCUUCGCCCUCUGUAUUUCUUUCUACUCUUCUGUUUUUCCUAGCUCUUUCCUUGAAGUUCAACUCGCAGUUCAUAAUGAAGCUUGCUCGGCUUCCUUCGCUUCCUUCCUAGAUCUCCUUACAUCACUCUCUCAUAAAAUCAAAACAACAAAUUGAAAACAAGAAAGAAAUUAGCUAGGAUUCCGCCUCGCAAACUCGGCUCCCUUCGCUUCCUUCCUAGAUUACAUAUUUACAACUAAAUUCAGAUUGAAAACAACAAAUCACUUUCUUGAAGAAUUAAAGCAAGAAGACAACUUAGAUUCAAUCUCUUAACAAAGAAUAUCGUUAUUGAUUGAUUCAAAGGAUAGACAAGCAAUUCAAGUCAUCGUGGAUAAAGGGCAUCAAUUCUAGCUAGGUUUCGUGAGCUCAUUCUCUUCUAUGAGUGGCUGGCAGAACCAGUCUUACCUUCUACACCACGAACUGGAGAUUUAUUCGCUAGUUCUGGUAAGCUGACCAAGCGACGGUGGCUCCAUACCUCUUAUGGGAAUAAGGUAGGAAAAACUUCGAUGAAAGGUACAGGCUACGCCUUCCCUUUUUCGAGUUUUUCUCUUUGGUGAAGGGGGAAAGCCUGAUUUUUCAGUGCCUUCGGGGGUAUAUAUGCAUCUAUAUUUCUGAAGGUCAAAAGAGCCCAAGCCUUCGGGUCAGAACCCCUUUCAGAGACCCUACCUAGCCUCUAGCCUUGCGGAUAUGCCAUUUUCGGAGGAGACCAAGGCGCAAAGAAUAUUGCUCGAAAGAGGAUCCAUAAGACAGGGAUAUUGUAGGGAGAGAAGCGGAUAAGACAGAGGCAAAGAAUUUGUCAUUACGGAGUGAAAUCAGCGGAUAUUGCAUAAAGAAGCCGAAAAAAGCUCUUUUUACCUCAUUUGGCUCUAGGAUCAAAUCACACAAUUACAGAGGCAGGGAUCUUGUAAGCUUCUUCCCCGACAAAAACUAGGUUCUUAGACGGAUCUGGUUUAACGGAUUGGUUUACGCCGUCACGGAUAGACAUCUCUGUAUUCCCUUUUCAAGGUAUGUUUUCCGCACUUUGACGAGCCUAAACAUAUUCAUAAUUCAAUGCCUCGAGUCCUUUUCCUCGCUAAUAGGUCCGGCCUGUAGUCCGGCUUUUCCAUCUUUCAGGGAUAUCGAUCCGGCUGCCUCUAUAUAUUCUUUGCGCCUUCAUACUUUUCCUUUUUUGGGGGUAGGGGUAUAUUUUCUCAGCUCCUCUACGGGAGCUUCGGUUUUGCUAGAAGUCAGCCGAAGUUUCGGCUUUUCCUUUGGACUAGAUUGCUCGGAGUUACCAUUAAUUCAUAAUUAAUCAAAGAAAUAAUUAACUUGUUCUAUGACGAAAACGAUCAAAAAAUCGUGGACAAAGGGCAUCAAUUCUAGGACUUUUCCGUGAGCUCAGCUCGACUGGGUGGCCGCUAGAUCCGUCUAUUUUUCAUAUAUAUAUAGACCUGACUCUGACGGAGUUCAAUCUUUCAAAAAAGCAUAUAGGGACGGAAGUAGCUCGACCAUAGGAAGAGGGACGGAUCCACAGACAAUGCGAUAUAUACCAGGGUUACGCGUAGCUGAAAAACAGUGUCUCAAAUUUGUAUUUUCUUCGAUCUGCUUUUUUGAUUAAAGUACUAACUUUGGGAAAAGAGGAUUGGGAGUCAACUCUGACUAUUUUUCUUUCAAUGGAAGUAGUUACCAACAUAAGCCGAUAUUUGUUAAUAACCUUGUCUCGCUCUGAGAGCGGAGAAAGAGGAAGUCAAAAGGAGAUUUUCUUCCAAAAUCCGGUGGCAUUUCUCCGCAAUAUUCUUUGCGCCUUCUCCUCAUUCAUAUGGAUAGGACUGAGGCUCCAUAAGACAGGGAUAUUGUAAGCCGAAAAAAGCUCUUUUUACCGCGGCGUAGUGGGUUACGGAGUUCAAUCAGCGGAUAUUGCACAAGCCGAUCUUGCAAAAAUGACUGUUUUUGUUAGUCAUUACGGAGUUCAAGAAUAAAGAAGAGCUUCUUCCCCGACAAAAACUAGUACACUAGUAGCAGAUUCAAUAUUCUUUUCACAUCUGCUUCCUUUUAUUUUGUUGAUUGCGAGAACUUACUAUAACCACUAACUGAGGAGAGACUGAACGGAUCUGCUUUCUUUCUACGUUUUCCGCACUUUUACGAGCCCCAACAUAUAAAGACACUAAGCCCCUUCCUUGAGUCCCUUCCUUGUGAGUCCGGCUUUUCCAUUUAAGAGGUCCGGUUCUCGCUAACUAAUAGGUCCGGCCUGUAGUCCGGCUUUUCCAUUUAAUAGGUCCCUUUCUCGCUAACUAAUAGGUCCGGCUCACUAAUAGAUAGGUCCGGCCUGACGUCCGGCUUUUCCUCAGGGAUAUCGAUCCGGCUUUCAGGGACAGGGAUAUCGAUCCAUCCGGCUGCCUUUUUCGCCUUCAGACUUUUCCUUUUCUUUCGCAUCUAGACCCCCAUUGAGCCUUUUGGUUUUUGAGGAAAGGAUAGGGGUUUAUUUACUCAGCUCCUUGAAGGGAGCUUCGGUUUAGCUAGGAGUCAGCCUCGCAAACUCGGCUUUUCCUUUGGACUAGAUUGCUCGAAAGUUCUAUAACCACUAACCACUGAAAGGUGGCUUCGCCCUCCAUAUUAUUUGCUUACUGCCCCCCUUAUAUUUUCAGAACCGACUUCUUGAUGUUCUUGCUCGCGUAGCUCGCGCGCGCGUAUGUUAACGCUUUGUGUAUGCUCCCCACUCGCUCCCUUUUGGAGUGCGCUCGGGGAAGCUUCUACUAAGCGCAGGAUUCUCUUCCUUUAACAUUCUUUCUAUGUCUUACUAAAGUUAGCUACCCAUCUCCGUCAGGCUCCCCCCCGCAAAUUCUUUGCUCCUCCACCUCUUGACCCAAGCUUUGGCUCUGAACCAAGACCACCCAGGAACAAGCAAGAAGAAGAAGGAAGGAACUAACUAAUGAAACUAAUGAUUCGGUCAAGAACUAAUGAUUCAGUCGCUGCGCUCCACACAAGAAGAACUAACUAAUGAAAGAUCUGAACCAAGGGUAAAGUUAUCCAUCUCCGUCAGGCUCUCCCCCGCAAAUUCUUUGCUCCUCCACCAAGCUUCGCUCUUCACCAAGACUACCCCAAAUCCUACAACCCACCCAUCUUCCGAAGUCUGAAUAAUAUCCGUUCAGGGCAUCUCUGCCAUUAUCUCUUCCUUAUCUCUUCUCUUCCUCCUCCUUAGACUUUAUUACAGGGCUUCGCCCCUCACACUUAUCCUAUUUUAGCCUGCUUAAGACAGAAUGUAUACCUUUCUUUCCUGCUCUUAGCUCUUAGACUUUAUUACAUUACAGGGCUUCGCCCCUCACACUUAUCCUAUUUUAGCCUGAGCUAACUUCAUUUUCUUUUCUGAGCUAACUUCAUGUUGGUGGUGUUCUAACUCGGCUCGUCUUACUCACCUCGCAUCUAUGUUAACGCUUUGUGUAUGCUAGCCGCUCGCUCCCAAAGUACGCUCGGGCUAGCUUCUAGAAAGCGAAGAUUCUCCCUCUCAGGAGAUUAACCUGUGAAAUUCGUCUCUGAAAUUAAUAAAGAAAUCAUGUGAAAUUCAUCUGUUAAAAGAAAUCAUUAAGAAAGAAGUUCUAGUCGUGAAAUAGUUGAUUCAAACGAUGUGUGCCCGAAAGGCUUAUGCCUUGACUAGGGACAUCGUGGACAAAGGCGCCAUAAGACAGGGAUAUUCUUGGACUGGGAGCUCAGCUUGACGGAGUGGCUUACGCCUAGCCGUCACGGAUAGACAUCUCUGUAUUCCCCUUUCUUUCUACGUUUUCCGCACUUUUACGAGCCUCAACAUAUAAAGACAGGUAGCCCCUCGUCAACUCGGUAAAGCUGCUUCGCCCCUUCCUCGAGUCCUUUAAAGACACACUAAGCCCCUGCCUUGAGUCCUUUUCCUCCUUUCAGGGAUAUCGAUCCAGCUAACUAACUAACCUAACUAAUACUAAUCGGUCCGGCCUGACGUCCGGCUUUUCCUUCCAUCUUUCAGGGAUAUCGAUCCGGCUGGCUCUGGCUGCCUUGUUCUUUGUUCUUUAAGGGAUAUCGAUCCCUCUCCUUAUCAGUCGAGCCCUUGUUCUUCUUUUUUCGCCUUCAGACUUUGAUUUUUCUUUUUCUUCAUACUUUCUUUUGGUUUAGGGAUGGGGUAUACUUACUCAGCUCCUUGAAGGGAGCUUCGGUUGUUCUAGGUGUAGCAGAGCUUUUUUCAAGAUUGAACUAGGAAAGAAAGAACAAGUCUGUGUUAAGCAGGUGCAGGCAUUUCAAGAAUCAGAUCCCCUAUUUCUUUAUGGAUGUCAUUGACUCUUAGGCGAAGGACUCUUUCACUUGCUUGUUGGACGCGCGCGCUAGAACUCCUCCCUUGAAUAGGUCUUUUCAGUUCGUAUUCCCGAUACAAGGUCCUAAGACGCUGGCUAGCUCUCUAUAUUUCAGAGACUAAGCUCCGCCUUAGAGGUUUCCAUGGGGGUCGGGGUGGAGAUCAAGCAAGGGAUGCAAAGCAAUGAGACCGACCAGGAGCAUAUGGCCAGAGAAGAAGCUAGAACUCAGAAAGCAAGCCGCCGUAUCGGUGCAGCAGGGAUCCCACUAUUAGUUCCAUUAAUAAGUCCUUCGCUCAAUAGGGUAGUAGAGUCCUCCGGACGGAAUAUGGAUAAAAAUCAGUCAGCUAGACACUCUAUUUUAGGCGCAAUAUUGCGAAAAAGCCUUGAUGGAGAAGGAGCUGAACUUUGAAUUCCUUCUUUAUCAAGGGAUAGGCUCUUCUUUGCGCUCCUUAACACGUAGGAGGAGAUGUAGUGCCUCCAGUUUGCGCUCCCGUAGGUCUUGUCUUAUUCUCUUAUAUAAGCUUGCCUUCGCAUGUAGGAGUUUGCCCUUGGUUCUUGGUCUGCCUUGCCUACGGCGGUUCCUUGCCUCCCUCCGGUCUGCAGUCCUUCGUCUUCUUCGAUCAGCUCUUUCAAGCAGCUAUAUAGGAACUCUUCCCCAAUCCUACUUCGCAUUAGUACUACACAACCCCCUACGCCUUCCUUACUGUCGCGUAUCAGCUGUAAGAAUAGCUUCAGCUAGAGCAGAUAUCCCAGGAAAUGCAAAAUCUCCGAAUCGUCUCAUCCCUUACCCAGGAAGCCCCGCAUGCCUUCAGCUUCAAACCGGGCCUCAUCCUUGUUCAUUGAUUUCACCUGUUGAGCUACUGCAUUCCGAAACCGCUACGUGGGGGUCUGGGCUAGUUAGUCUAAUGAUCUGAGUUCUUGCCUUGAUCUCUUUUCACUUCUUCCCUUUCUUCCGAUCAUGUUAUGAAAGAUCUAUAGAGAGGACUUGCUCUUCGUAAUCCUGUAUUCCGAUCCUUUGUCUCUGGGAUAUCCCGAUUCAGGUCGAAUACCGCCUCAAUGAACAAGGGUCAAAGAAGAUUUCGAAGACGAGACUGGUCCGGAGGAUAGGCUUUCUUUUCCUUGGCCGACUACGCGGUAGAAAAGCCAACCAUGGCGAAGCGAAGGAAGUGCUCUGGAAAGGGCGGGCUGGGCGAACUCGGGAGUGGAAGAAGUUGAUGUCCCCGGGAGUCCGCCUGAGAUCUAGAUCUUUCUCUUUUUCUUGCUUGAGGUCUGAGAUCGGAUCCUUCAUUCAUUCGUGACUCGUGGCAUUGAACUUCCUUUUCUUAUAAUAAAUCACCUUCUUUCUACAGUGAAAGCUUAGCUUAGGCUGACGGCCUUGGGAAUGGUCAAGAGAUUAGAACCAACCGCGUAGUGGGCAGCCUUCCUCAUCACCCUAGAAGGAGCCCGGAUCCUGAAAGGGGGACCUAUGAUUCCGCUGACUCAGCAAGAAUUUGAGGUGGGGCGGAGACUGAAUUUUCCUCUCCUCUGGGACAGAAUUUCUCUUGACUUCUGAUUCCGCUCUUCUCUACGAGGAUCCCGUAAUAAUCAGACUGAUUCUUUCUCCUUCUGCCGAAGAAAUAGAGUCCCGUCAGUCCUUCCUCUUUGUCGAGUUUUGCGCUUUCUUUCCAAAAAGAGAAUGAAAUCACGUAUUUUCAGAGUUAGAAGAUGGGAAUCCAAGGAUUUCUCCUUCAAGGCCGACGGAAAGAGAUUGUACACGGAUCCUCCUGGUUUUCUUCCUGCGAGUCAUCCUAUUAUUUCUUCCUUUUUCUACUUCUUCCUAUAGAGGUUCCUAUUUCCCAACCAUGAAUAAAGACGGGGGAGGUCCCUUUCAAUCCCACCACUAAUAGACGAGACGAGGGUAGAUGGGUCGCCGGAUCAGUAUGAAGCAGCGGCCGGGUCAGAGUCAGGUUGCAUCCCUUUCAGGAAUGAGAAGGAUAGAGGAAGAGUAACAAGAAAAGCAAGUUCAAAUAAACUAAGAUUUUGGGCUAGUGAUGAAAAUAUUCAAGAUUCCACUAUUCGAAAGCCUAUCCUUUCUGAGAACCUUCUGACUUAUCUUCUUUUUUAGAACCGUCGAAGAACAUUUGCCAGAGGAGUUGAGUCUUCUUCUUCGCCUACCGCUAAUAGAAUAGCUGAGUCCGGGAAAUGCGUCCCCUUACUAAACUAAGAAAAUCAAGCUCAUAGUCCGGACGGGAUGAUCCAUCCGUAGGUGGUCUGCUAUUGCCUGCCCCUUUCCUUACUCAUUUAGGGCUUCCCCUUGCUUUUACAGAACUCUGAGAGUCACAUCUGCCACCUUCCUGGCCCAUUCAGGCUGGCUUUGAAAAGAGAUACUGAAGCGGGUCCAUCCUUGCAAUCAGCAUGGUCGUAUAGUUCAAGAUGUAGUGGCGUAGGCUUUGCGAGGCUCAUGGUUGAGCACAACCGCUUUUUUCUAGAACCGUAUACCUUGUCUCAUAAUCAGUGAACUUCUUGCCGAUCUCGUAUAUUGCCCUUUCUUUCCUACCAGUUUCAUCUCAUCGUGCUGACCAAGGACAGACACAACUCAUGGAUGCUUGAAUUACUUACAGAUAGAUGCAUCAGGAUAGGCUUUCCUCUUUUUCCCACGGAGCGUCCGUCCGAAGGACUACGAAGGAGGACGCCUAGUUUUAGUGGAAAAUAAGGGUCCGGAGGCUGAAUGAAAUUCUCUAAUGGAUAGGACCCACGGAGCGGUGCAAUGAAGCGUUGUAAGGAGCUUUUGUUUUGAAAGUGGCCUUUUUUAUAAGAGGACUAUCCAUAUUCACCUUAGGAUCAAAGUCAGCCCACGGAGCGGAACAUAAUCAGACUGAGACUUUAAUUCGAUCUUCAUUCUCCCACGUAGCGGUCUUCUCGUAUGAGAUCUUUCGAGGUUAGUUACGAAGGAGAGGCGCAAAGAAUAUUGCGAAAAGCCUAGCCUUUGAGAAUUUUCAUCUUCGUUCUUUCGAGAAUGAGGAGGCCCACCUUUCUUGCUCCUUCCGCCUGCUUGCGUGCUUGGAGAGGAUAAAGGUGCUUCGACUCUUAAUAAUGCAUCUUCUUUAGAUAAAGGCCGCUUCCCGGAAGGAAAGGAGUGGAGAAAGGGUCCUUCUUCCUCCCCUCCUUUCGAGAUCCUCUUUUCUAAGAACCUGUAAUAACUCCUCGUCAACUAAGCUCUUUCGCGCUAUCGUAGUAGCUUGACUCAGUAUUAGGUUAUUCAGUUCCCACCCACACUCGUAGGUUCCGAUCAAGAGAGGUGAAUCAGCUUUCUUUCUUCCGCAUCCUCUUUAGGAUUAGGAGUCGAGCCCUUGUUCAUUGAUGGCCUAGCCUCUCUGUCUUUACCAAAAGGAUAGCUUGACUCAAAAGAGAAAGGACGCUUGAAGUUCAAGAGCGACUCCGGACCCGCCCGGAAGUUGUCGAAUCAUUAGCCAAAUAAGGAGAAGAGAACAAACUGGAGUGGGAAAGGGGAGAAGCAUAAGGUUGCCCGGUUCAGAUCAGUCUUCAUUCUUUCUUCGGCUUAGCUGAGAUUCGUACCAUCAUGCCUUCUCUACAGCACCACUUUGCCUUUAACCAGAGGUAAUUCGCUCCUUUCCCGCUCCGUAGAGUUCAAGACUUCCGCUCCGUGGGGGUUAAGACUUUCUAAGAGUUAACAAGAAUACCGGAAUAAAGAAGCUUUACGGUCUCGCUCUUAAGUCGUAUUCAUCCCUCAGAAAGAUAAGAGUGAGAGGUGAGACUUCGUACUCACUCUUCCUUUGGUGCCAAGAAAAGACCUUUUAGUGUAUAGAACUCAUACAAUAUCCCUGUCUUAUGGAGCCUUGAUUUUCCCGUCCGUUUCAGACGCCAACAGGUUAAUAUGGUCCUUUGAAUAUGGAUAAACAAGUCAUCUGGACCUCGCAUAUUGAAUUGCGCCUUACAAGAUCCAGUCAAUGAAUCCGUGGGCUUACUUUGAUCCUCUCCCCCUAUUUCCUAUCGUCGGCGAGCCGCUUUCGCUCCGAAGGAGGUGCAAAGAAUAUUUCGUGGAAGAGGAAGGAAAGAAAGAAAGGUAUACAUUACAAGAAGAGAGAAGAGGAAGGCGCCAUAAGACAGGUCCGAAGGCUAGGUGCAAAGUUCGGUUAAUUACGGAAAGUCCUCCUUCCUUCCAUAUGGAUGGUCCUACUUCGGUUAAUUACGGAUGGUCCUACGGAUAAAUCACCUGGACCUUUCUUUGGCCCAUAUGGAUAGUCCUCCGGACUACGGAUAAAUCCUGCGGACUGCGGACUCCGGACUCCGGACGGCUGUCCGCUACGCUACGGCUCCGCUUCCGCGAUUAAUAUGGAUAGUCCUUCGGACGGAGAAAGAAAGGUGCAAAGAAUAUAUAGAGAAGGAGAGGAUCAAUGUAAGUAAUAUGAUGUAAGGAGAGGAGUUUUCUCCCGCCGAAUUCUUAAGGAGCAAUCAUUGAUAAGGAAGGAUCUUUUCACCUUUAGCUAGCUCGUCGGGCGAUGUCAACAAGGUCCUUCGCUCCGGACCCGCGUAGUGGGAAUGGACAUUCUUUCUUUAGUGCAGCGUCAUUUGCGAAGAAGCGAAAAGAGGAAAGAGGAAAGCCUAUCCAACCCACGGGGCGGUCUAAGGAAGGAAAGCCUACUUAAACCUACUAUCAAUGAACCGCAAUAUUCUUUGCGCCUCCCAGUCUCCUAAUGGAUAGUCCUACUUCGGUUAAUUACGGAUGGUCCUACGGAUAAAUCCUCCGGACUCCUUCCCUCCAUAUGGAUGGUCCUACGGAUAAAUCCUCCGGACUCCGGAUAAAUCCUGCGGACUGCGGACUCCGGACGUAGGACCUGUCUUUAUCAGGAGCGUAGCGAACAGCCGUCAACUACUUGAUAGUUAUCCUAUCUUUCUCCUACGCGGAAUCCAGAAUAGACCUCUCUUUCUCCGGAAAAGAAACUCAAACAAGAAUCAAACUAUGUGAAUUUCUUAUCCCUUUCCUAGGAGUUCUUCUUUCAUUGCGUUUUCCCGGCUUUUUUGCUUCUAAAUAGGACUUUUUCUCAUAUUUCUAUUUCACGAAAAUAGAUCAAAAAUGACUGAUUUUUCAUGAUUUCUUUCUACUAUUUCUUUUCAGCUCUCCUUAUCAGUCGAGCCCAAAACCUAGCAUUUCCCUCCGCGGAUUCAUCUGAAAUCUAGCAGAUUCAUAAUGAUUCUUUCAUUCGAGUUAUGAAAUCAUAAUGAUUCUUUCAUUAUCGUUAAUGAGCUUCUUUCAUUAUCGUUAAUGAGCUUCUUUCAUUAUCGUUAAUGAGCUUCUUUCAUUAUCGUUAAUGAGUGAAUUCUGCUUUUCUUGACUUUUGUGCCAGUCCGAAGGACUAUCCAUAUUCUAUUCUUUGCGCAUCUGCGUCCUUCUUUUUCGCAACGCAUAUUGAAUUGCGCCUUUUAUCUCUUUCUUCUUAAUAGACCAAAUCGAUGAAAUAGACCAAAUCGAUGAAAAGAAGGAGAAUUUGUCGGAAAUGGCCGGGAUAGCUCAGUUGGUAGAGCAGAGGACUGAAAAUCCUCGUGUCACCAGUUCAAAUCUGGUUUUCUCGGCACAUCAUGAAUUUGUAUGAGUAUCUAUUCUACGGAUUCAUUAAUAAUAUAGAUCAUUCAAGGAUACAUCAUCUUUGACCCUCAAGACUCAACAAUAUCCCCCAACUACGUUGCCUCAGUCGCAGCAAACAAAAAGAAAGCGGAAAUCCCCUAAUGGAUAGUCCUUCGGACCUGUCUUAUGGCGCCUUCGGACGGUCACAUAUUCUAUUUUUUCUCUAGUUCAUCAAAUUUCAUGGAUCCGUAGUUAGGAUCCAUAAGACUGAAUAUGGAUUUCUCAAUCGCAUAUUUCAUUGCGCCUCCGUAGCUUAAUAUGAUUUGCUCAAAUAUGCGUUCCAAAAAAAAGAAAGAAUGAAAACUUUGAAUAUUGCGUUGCGUGGAAAUGGAAAUAAUAUCCGCGCGUAGGAUGAAUGAAUAUGAGAAGAAUAUUGACAAGCGCAUUUAUCUAAGAAGAGAAAACGAGUCAAGAGGACGGAGUGCAAGGAUGAAAUCCCGUCCUCAGUCCUAUCCAUAUUAACCUGUUCAUAUAUAGACCCCUCCGCUAGGCUCAAAGAAGAUUUCUCAAAAGUCUGAUUAAAUAGCCGAUAAAAAAGCAGUGAAAUAACUGAAAUAAGCGGUCUACAAUAUAAUAUCCCCCUUUCUUAUGGAGCCUAACUACGGGGGGGGGAUCGAGAAAAUCAGACUCCAAGGGAGAGGUCAGACCAGAGAAUUCUAUUUGGUAUCGGGUGGGCUACUCUUUGUGCUUAUGUUACCAAGGAGCACAAGAGCCCUUACGUUUGGGGACAGUAAUCACUUCAAGAAAAAGGGUCGGGUAGAACAACUUCUUAGGGGAAGCUUUUUCUAUGAAGGAAGAGAAAGAAGAAAAGACGAAGCAAAGAAGCGGAGCGGUAAAGAUCUCUGGCCAGAACCUGAUAGGGCUAGCUUAGCUGCCAGAGGGAUUGGAUUCUCUCUUUAUUGUAUAUCAAGAGAACGUAGAAAUCCUUCUUUCUAGUACGCUCCCAGAAUGAGCCCAAGCCCAGAGAAUGAAAGGUGCUCCUUUUCUCUAUUCUAUAGAUAUAAGAAAGCAGCUAAUUGCUAGCUCUCUUCCUUUGGUGCGAGUGAGGGACUAACCGCCUUACCUCUGCUCACUCCGGAACUAAAGAAAGCCUACCAAAGAAGAUUGAUUGCUAAGCCAGAAAGAGAAAGAAAGCCUACCAAGAAAUCGAUCAGUCCCUAGGGUUAACAAAUUAGUAAGUUCAUGUGUCAUGUAAAUUACUCAAGGGUGUGUAGUAAGACACCCAUCCGCAGCUCAAUAUUCUUUGAACCUCACCUUGACUAGACACUCAGCGCAUCAUGACUCAAAGUAGUACUAAUUUUGAGGGAAGAAAAAAAGGCGAGAGAUAUUAUCGAGGGAAGUAGUCAUCUUCUUUGAUUCAUUCUAAGAACUCUGUCCCAAGCGGGAAAAGCUCAGAGAAAGGGAAUUACACAGGAUGAAAUGGGGAUGAAAGUAGGUUAGAGCUUAGAGAUUAUGUCCGUUGCACUGCCAUAGUCGUCGCGAAGGAGAAGGACGAGGCGCUAUAUCAUAUAUAUAGCUCUACUCAAUGAGAAUGCAUCCAGAUAGAGUGCCGCGAAUUAGAGGAGCCGAUACAGAAUGGGAAGGAAGACAGUGCUGUCUUACAUUCCGCGUGGGCCAGCCUCUCUUUAUAUGUCACCAAAGAAGACAAGAAGCCCUAUGUCUGGGGAAAGUUCUCCCUUCAAGACAUACUGCAAGAAGCAGAGGUCAAAGCACAAAAGGCUUUCUUGUGAACCAGCACGAGCGUGUGCGGAAGCUUAGAGAGAGGAUUGAGCAGUACGAUGAUUUCCUGGAGCUAAGGGGCGAUCCAGAGAUCGCAGGGCUCCUCUGGUCCAAGUACAGUACUGAAAGCAAAAUCAGGGAAGAUUCCCAGCAGAUAAAGCUAGAAAAGAGAUCCACUAUGGAGCUACGAGUAGCUUAUCUCGAGGAGAGGGGCGAAGAAGCUCGACUGAAAGGAGAGGGGCCGGCCUCUUCUAAGAAGAAUUAGAGGAUCAAUCUCUAUUCUUAGAUUGGAUUGGAUCGCCACCAACCUCGUCUUCCAGAGGCCCAUCCAUAAAGACAAGGCAACUCUUUGUCUAUGGGCGGCCAAGUACACAAAAAACCCCCUUGUUCUUAGUAUGUUAAAGAAGGGCUUAAGGGAAGAAGAAGAUCAAGCCUAGGGACAAAGGAAGAACGACUAAAAUCAAAAGGGGCACACGAUUACUUCGACCUCUGGGUCGUCGAUGAGUUCAUGGAAGACAAGGCGCAGUCCGAAAACGAAUCGGAACAAGGUCGGAAUUAGAUUCAGGGGAUGCUCACGCUCAUGGGCAGGAGUGCAGGCCUCAAUACGAAAGGACCUGAUAUAAGAAGGCCAAGGUUCCCAUUAUUUUCAUGGGAAAGCAUAUACCUUCUACCUGAACCGUGGACGAAAGGCCUUUGGCCAAGAGAAGAGAGCCUUUCACCUUUCAACUUUGACUCCAACAUAGAGGAGCUGCAAGAGGAGAGGCUUAUAGCCAAUGGGGUUGUAUUUUCGGCCGCCUGCACGAUAGCAGGGGAGCUCGUAAGGGAUCCCCGCCUUUAAUACAAUUCGUUAAGCAGAUUAGAAGUGCCUGUAAGCGACGGAAAGAUUCUUUCACUCCUUAUUAUUGAAAGGAGAAAUCCACGUGCUGGCAAUAAGGAAGGGCAGCAAAAAGGGGGAGAAAGCCUACCUGGACCGCGGAGUGGGCAUUGCUCAACUGAGAGCAUGGGACAUGAACCUACUACAGUUUGCCGUAGUACCCCAAGAAAUCCGUAAAUUCAUAGCCCAUGAGCCCACACAGCACAUAAGGGGAGCACGCCAAAGGCUGGUUAUAAGGAGGGAAGAGGACCACGAUAAGCAGGAUUACGCCUUAUGGUAGGCUUUCCUUCGUGACGUAAAAAGGGUGCCCCAGGCCUUGUUCAAGGUGACCCAGCAUCCAUCUCCAUCAGUACUCUUUCUGUUCUAAUAAGCUUUUAGCAGUAUAGCGGGAAGCAUUUUCAUUCAAUAGGGCAAGAUGGAAAUUUUCCCACUCCAUUGCAUUGGGGAAGAUUUUUGAGAAGUUUCAGCCUUAGUGCAUUCUUUUGUCUCUUCUCUCUGUCUGCCUGAGAAAGAGUUCUGAGAAUCAAAUCAACCUUCAGAGAUUCCCGCCUUCUUUCUUGACUAGUAGUAAGCAUUAUGCCUUUCAUUUCUUAACCUAGUCAAAGAGGGGGAGCCGCUGCUCCUUUGUAUAGGGAAAAAGGGUGAUAUAAAGGGAUGAAUUCUCUGGUCUAAUUAAUAAUAGACUGGGGAUCGUAGGAAAGGUUCUUUACUUGUCGGCUAGCCUAAGCUCCAUCCUACUUACUUGCUUUCUUACACAUUUAGACCGGUCCGAAGCCUGAAUUCUCGAUUUUCGGUUCAUCUGAAUUCAAAAGAAAGAAAUCAGAGCCCACUUCAUCAAAGAAAAAAAGAAGAAUGGGGACGGUCCCCUGCUUCCUUUAGUUCCUUUGGUGAACAAUAGGUCAUCUUCUACCCAGAAUUGACGAGUCUUCCCUUCUUUAAUCAACUGUAUUAUAGCUUGGGCCGCAGGGUCCUUGGCCAGGCAAGCCUUGAUAGUUUCAAGAAGGGUGCCGGCUGCUAGCUUUUAAAUGGGCGAAGAUGCACAGGGCCGCAUGUUCGCUCAUCCGACUAAGGGCUAAGGCCGCUCUCCUUUACCUGUCUUCAAAUUUCAAAGAAAAUUCGGCCAAGCAUUCUUGCCAACGAGCUUCUUUAGAGGUCAAUUUGGGUUGACUGAAAAAGUGGCAUAUCUUUCUAUUGUCCGUCUUGACUACGAACUGGGAUCCCAAGACAUAUUGUCUCCAGGCUCUAGUGUACCACUGCAAGCAUUUCUUUCUCUCCGGCUUCUCCUCUCCGCAUCCAUCCUUCAGUUUCCUGCUCUCAUAGGCAAUGGGAUGGCCGUCUUGGAGGACUAAGGCAAAAUCAGAUGCGUCGCUUUCCACUUGCUUUGCUUACAUCGGCAAUUCCGAGAACCGGCCCUUCCAUCAUGGCCUUCUUCAGAUCCCCCAGCCUGAGAUUCUGGGGUCCAUUCCAUUCCCACUUAUGGUCUUUCUUCAAGAACUCCGUUAAGGGCCCUGUUCUUGAAGAGAAUCCCUCAAGGAAGGUAGGCUUUCUGGAAAAGAAAUAGUAGGUUCUACGAGGAAAGAAGGCAAAUCCCUUACUACAGACGGCACUCUCCAGUCACGUAGAGCAGUCAUUUUGCUCUCUUCCAUGCCGAUUCGGCCACACUCGAUCACGUGACCGAGGAAGUUAAUGCCUUUCUGAGCAAAGGCAAUUUCUCUCUCUUUACAUACAGUCAACCUCAAUUUCUCAAAUACUAACUGAAGGUGAGGUUGAUGCUCUUCUAGCCUCGCGCUCUAAACCACAAUCUCGUCCAGAUAUAUAUACUAGGAUCAACUUCUCAAGGUAUGAAUGGAAAACCUGAUUCUGAAAGGUAGAAAAAGUGGCUGGAGCAUUGGUGAGGCCGAAAGGCAUUAGACUCGGAAUGAAAAGGCGUAAUCUCGUCUAAGACAAUGGUUCAUCUCCUGAAGCAAUUCGCACUUGAUAAUAAAUACCCUGAAAUCUGAUCCAAUUCUUCAAAGUACUUGGUGGAGGCGGUCAAAUAAGUCUGUGAUAAUGGGGAGAGGUCUUUCGAACUCUGAGUUUAUUCAGCGCUCGAUAGUCGAUACAUAAGCGGAGACUUCCCUCUUUCUUCUGAAUCAAGAAGAAAUAUGUGCGCGAGGACCUUUUGCAGGUCUAAUAAACCCAGCGUCCAAGAACUCUACCAAUGAGAAGUUCUGCCAAUUCUGGCGGCCCCAUGUGAUACGCAUUCUUUGCAGGGGGUCUCGCCCCGGGUAGAAGUUCUAUCUCAUGAUCUAUCCCCCUGAGUGGAGGUAGAGUCUUAGGCAAACUCUCUGCCAUUACGUCUUGGUAUUCGUCUAAGACAUACUGGACUGCCUCCGGAACUAGCUCUUUCGGACUUUCCUCAUCAACCACUGGGAUAGCCAUGAAUGAACGUGGGCUCUUCGCGGGCUAGCCCUCUCUUCAGCUGGAGAAGUUUCAUCCCUUUCUUCUCUUUGUCUGGACUACGGUGGGAUUAGAUCCUGUGACUACCAAAGAUUUGGCCAAGGAUCAAAGUAUUUGAGCUUUGCGCCUUGUGUUCAAGAAGGAAUUCCAUCCCCAGCACUACAUCAAAAUCGUCCAUCUUCACAACCAAAAAAUCCGUCUGUCCACUCCACGAUCCCAAUUUGAACCUCAUUCGUCUUGCAAUCCCCAAAAUGGGUAAGGCGGCUGAGUUUACUCCUUUCAUUUUUCCUGGGUCUUUGUCCCAAUUCUAAGACGUCGGGCCUCUGUCUCAGCAAUUCCAUUGGGGGUGGGAAUCGACCUCUUUUGGCCUCUUUCUGAUUCACCCACGCAUCUACGUACAUGAGACCUCGUUCCGCCUGUCCUUUAUUUCCCUCUGCCUUUUUCUUCAGGGCGGACAAAAACUUCAGGGCCCCGGGGUUUUCCUCGCCCUCUUCUUCCCCUGUAUUCGUCUCAUUCUUUUCUUUGUUCAUUGAUCGGCAUUGGUUCUUAACCUUGCCUGGAAUGCCUUGAGAGCAGCGAGAUUUGGGCAUUCGUAAACUCGUUGGGGGCCCUUGCACAGGAAGCAAGAUGGGGGUCCUCCUCUAUAAUUGCCUUGCUCUUGCUUCGGGUUGCGCCCUUGGUGUCCGCCUCUUGGGGGAAAGGCUUUGCGAUCCCCUCCUCCCGCUCUCUCUCCUCCUCCACUUUUGGGAGAGUUAGAUCCGGCGGGUUUAUUACUUCCACUAGAGGAAGCUUGCUUUCCUCUUUGCUCGUGGGGCGCAUCCUUGCUGAGAUCAAAUAGUCGUUCUGCUGCGGCAUAGGCUGAGGACAGGCUUUGGACUGACGGCUUUCUCUUUCUUUUUCUUUCUUUUAGCCCACCACAAAAGAUCAAACUUUAGCUUUCUCUGACAUAUCACGGAUAUCCAGGAUCAGCCCGGCAAAUUGCUUCACGUAUUCUCUAAUUGUGCCAGUAUCUUUUAGUUCUCCUAACUUACUGAGAAUUUCUUCUCGGGGAAGAACUGAGACCGCAGCUCUUCUUUCAGUGUCUCCCACGUAUCGAUGGUCCAUCUACCCUCUUGGAUGUCCACAAAUCGGGACCUCCACCACAAGCGUCUUCUGCCAGGUGCAUCGUCGCCAAUGUGAUCAAAGACUCUUCAGUCACUGUAUUCCUAGCUCUUAAAUAUUGUUCCAAAUCAAGGUGAAAAGAAUAUUGACCAGCCUAAGAAAGAGAAAGCCUAGGCACUUGAACCCGGUUGAACUGGACCGCGCCCCGGGCUUGGUCACCGCUCUUAUGGUGAGAUUGACUCUUGCGCUGACAUCUGCAAUCUCUGUCCUGAUGACAUUAUCAGAGCUCCUCCGAGAAUUCAAUUCGUUCACCAUUUUCAUUAUCGCUUUCUCUCAGCUGUCCAAUGCAAGGCUCUUCAGGCCGUAGAGCCCAGCUAUCCCCUCCCUCGCUCGAAGCUACCCAACCUGCUAGCAUUUGCUUCUCUCAAAUGAGCAAUAUUCUUUGCACCUUGUCAUCAACUCUUUGAGGGGCAUUCCGUCUAAGCGGCCAGCUACCGCAUCGAUUCCGCCUUCUCAGAGACUUCCUUCAGCCGAGUGUCUCUAGGAAUCGAACUUGAUCAGGGACUUCUAUCAAAUAGAGCAGAUGCUCUUCCAUCUCUCCCAACCGGUCAACGUGGGACUUACCCAACUCUUUCGUAGCCGACAUGAUUACAGCUUGUUAACUUCGUGAGCCGACUUGGCUCUGAUACCAAUUCUCACGGUCGCACUUUCGUAAGCGUCUCGGAGCGAUCUAAGGCAAUCCCACACUAGAACAAGUCAGCCAAACUCAAUCCAAAUAGCCGAUGGCACGCACAAUGGACGUACUUCGCAACCCUUGAUCAAUUAGAAAAGGGGUUUAGAGGAAAAGGUUUGAGCAAAGGUUUGAAAGCAUCUUUGAGAAAAUCAAUGAGGGCUAUAAGCAGGACAAGAAGUUCUAUCUUUUCACUCGAGGAUGUGUGGAUAUGAUGAUUAGUCUGACCCCCACAUAGUACAUUUUGAACAAAAAGAGAAUUGGCAGGCUCAACUAGAAAGAAAGGAAGAAAGCCAGCGGUGGAAUAAAGAAGAAAGUUUGAGUAUAUUCACCUUUUAUUUGCCGCCUUGAUUUUGUGAAGAGGUCGGAUAUAUAGGAUUAGGAGGAGUGGGAGUGGAGAUCCCGAACUUGCAUGAGAAAAAUAGAUCAGUCAGAAAGGACUUAUCUCAUUCUAUAUGUUCCGACGCAUAAAGAAAGAGUAGAAAAAGAUAGAAAAAGGACGGGACAAUUAAUUCAAGUACGGAAUCCUCUGUCCAUGUCUUGAGGUCUAUUCGAUCUUGAUCGACUGCUUUUUCCUUAGAAGACAGCUGUCAAAGCAACCUCCUCAACCUAUCGGAAACUCCUCUGAACCUGCGAUGGAUGAUCUCUACUGGUCUGAACUUUCUUCUUAGUGAACUGAAAGGCCUACGAGGAGGCUGCUCGAGCUACCUUACCUCUCGGUAUGAGUGCGGUUUCCGUCGGAGUUCUUGAAUCGGAAAUGAGUACAUUAUCAGCCGUCCAGCGACUUUCUUAUUCUACUGUCAAAACUUCUUCCUCGCUUUUCUUUAUGGGAACUGAAGCUCGCUAGGUAGGAUGGAUGCAAAAGUCUGUCCUUCGAUAAUUGGUCGGGCAUAUUCCUUCCACUCGUGAACCCCUUCUCCUCGGAAUACGAACCUAUUCCACUGCAGAAGAACCGAGACUUCUCCUACGAAUGACUCGUAAACUGAAGAUCUUUCAAACUCCUCCGAGCAAUAUGAAAACCUACUAAAGCCUAGGAGGGAAUUCCAUUCCGGCCUGGCUUACCUUGAGAGUUGACUGACUUUCUUCCUCAUGAAACUCCAAUGCAUUCCCGAAAGAGGUCAAGCUGCAACCUAUCCUCUUGGUCUCCUCACACAGCGCGUAGUGGUGGUCGAGAUAUUAAAGGCGUAGUGGGCUGGCCGGUCUACGAAGAGAUUCUAAUAGUGAGAGAGCCAGACCCAAGUCAAGAGUUCUAUCGGAGGCCUUCUCUUGAAAACCGAGUUCUCGAUCCGAAUUCAGAUUACUCGGUCUAAUAAUGGAAGAGAGGUUCCAUAAGCAUAAGAGGAAAGCCAUACCUACUCAUAUCUUCUGCUUUCAGUUACCUCCGGGCUUCCGGUAAUCAUUGAAUCAUUACGCAUGGUCUAAUGGAAGAGAGAGAGAAAGAGCCAUUCCACUCGUCAACUUAGGAUGUGCCACCAAGGCUCAAAGAAUUUGAGAAAGAACAUCACUCCUUUCUUCUGGUCCGGUCCCGAGCAAGGUAGAUCCGCCUGUCUUUCAUGCUUUGUUUUUUCCUCUAACCUCUCGACUCGUACUCUUUCUCUCUCCUUUCUUCCUCGUGCGUGCCUAUUUGACUUUGCUGUCUCGCUACUUUCUCAGUCUGAUCCUUCAUUAUUCUUUCAUAAGAGAAUGGGAAUAUGAGCAUACGAUUUCUGAAUAAUAGCUUGACUCUCCUGGAACAAGCCACAGCCACUUCCUCAACUUCCGCAGCCACUGCUCUCGAUCCUUUCUUCUUCAACUUCAACCGCUCCUUUACCUUUAAGUAGGUUCAGACUUUCCUUUCUACAGUCAAAAUCAACCGUGGGCGUGGUGACCAAUCGUCCGCGAUGGAAUGAGAUCUUGAGUCAUAAGAAAAGGUAGGGAGAGGUGGGAAGCCGCUAUCGGUCUGAUUCAUAGGGCAUUCUUAUUCUCUUUCUCUCUUUCUUCCAAGAAGACUAGACCGACCGACCCCCACUCGGAUCGGUCUUAUUCCGCUUCUUAUUCUACUUAAUAAAUAAAGGUAAGAUAAGAAAGCCACGGGUGGUGGGAGGUAAGCUUCGUAGGACGCCCCAAAGAUGAAAGAGGAGGCUACCUACCUACAAGCUUGACUUAUAUCCUCGUAAACUACUUUUGAUAGGGAUCUCAUGAUCGGAUAGUAAUGUCAUAGGAUUGAUCAAAGAUCAAAAAGGGUUGCGAGACCUAGUUUUCUCCUUUUCUUGGGUUCGGGAAAGGGUAUCGGAUUAUGGGCGAAGCCGCUCCACUGUAUCAAGAUCGAGAACUCACCCGUAUCAGAUGGAUCGGCCGAGUCAUAGCUCUUCCGUUGCAGCAGAGUCAGAAAGAGCGGGGAACUCCGCAAUAGUAGGACUAGCUAGCGCAAGAAUCAUAUAUCUACUCAACGAAGCAGCAUAGAAAGGACAGGAGCGAAGCGAGUAUCAUCAGUCCAUUCAAUAUUCCAAAUUGAAUAAGAAAGAUUCCCGCUACGUGGGCAAAGAAAGAAGGAAAGUAAUAGAGAGUCACUCCAUUCAUAACUAGGUAGUUCUGGCUUUCUAUCUCCAUCUUAGAGUGACCACCUUCUUUUCUCAAAGAAAGCAGGCGACCAAUAUAAAAAAUAGUGGACUGCGGUCCUGCGAAGCCGGUCAACGGAUAGGCAGAGUACAAACCGAUGGUAGACUUUCUUCAAGUUUGACUUUCCAUGAACUAGUCUAUUAAAGAAGAGACGAAGAGCUUGAUUAUCCACUUAUUUCCCCCUCAAUGAUCUUGAGCAGGGUAUAUAAUGGAGAAUAGAGACUGAACUUCUUAAUAUGUAUCGUAUCACAGAUCCAUGAAAGAUCCUUUUUUCCUAGCCCCUAUUGCACCAUCUUGAUAGGAAUAGGUUGAAUGAGUCAGAGGAAGCGAGACAGAAGGCAUCGGGGCAGGGGAGUAAUCGUAAUCCGUCCCAGGAGAAUAGGAAGUAUCCGUUGAGGAAUCAGAAGUUGAAUGAGAGGAAUGAGAGACUGAAAGCAAGACGGGAUCGAUGUGCAGGUCAGAAAUCGGGGGGAUAUUUUCUAGGGAUCGGAGGCCCCGGUAACAUAACUCUCUUAUAGAAAGAGUAGGGUAGGAGUAUUCUCAGAAGUUAGUAUUCCAGAGUCAGCCUCAUCCAUUUCAUGAGUCCGAAGUUUCAGUUUCGGAAGUUGAAUCAGAGUGAGAGGAAUCAUCUUUCGGCAGAGGGCUAGGCCAGGAGGGCUUGAUGGGACUAUCUCAAUUCUCUGUUCCGGAAGCCUCAGUUAGAGGUUAUCAUAGGAUCGACCUUCACUAUCCCAAGCAGCUAUCUGCUUAGGGGCUCUCUUCUUCCAUGUCGGAGAAAGUACUUUUUCUUGAAUCAGAGUCUGAGUACGAAAAGCAUCCUUGAGUAUGAGAAGGAUAGGUUGCUAGGGAAGAAAGGAUAGAAGCAGCUUUACCGCCCACGUAGCGGGAGAGAGAAUGAGAGGGAUAGGACGUCAUCACCUUAUCAAUAGGAAGCGAUACCGGCCGAGUGCCAUUUAGUUAGGAUGCGGCUUUCCCGACGGGUAACUGAAAUUCCUAAGCAAGAUCAGUUUCAUUAUCCGUUUCCGAAGAGCUACUCUGAUAGCUUGACUCAGUAUUCUUUAUACCCCCUCUUUCAAGGGAGAAUUAUCCGACUUAGGAGGGUACCGCAUUGGGCAGAAGCAUCACAGCAGUUCCUAUAAGAAAUAUUCCCUAGUUCAGGUCGAGCAGAGCUUCAUACCGAUUAAGAAAGGGAUAAGAAGACAGCUGAGCACCGAUCCCGAAAGAAAAGAGUCUAAGUCGAAAAAUCCGCUUUUAAGAAAAUGAAGUCAAAUUCUUUGCCUCUGUCUUAUCCGCUCCUCUCCCACUGCGUAGGAGGACGGUCUAGCAGCCCUUUUUCUUGAUUACGGAAGAAGGGGCCCUAACUUUUGAGUGAUUUAGGCUAUUUCCCCUCUCCCUAUCUAUAGGUCUAGCUCCUAAGCGCGUAGUGGGCUCUGCUGCCUCGCUCGGGUCGUAUUCAUAUCUUGAAAGAAGGUCAGGUCUAGCUUUCGGCGCUCUUCCUAUGGAUCAUGAAAUGAGUACUUAUUGCCAUAGAGCCGCAUCGAUCCUAAUCUACUCUGUCUCCCUUCUGGUCUCGCUCCUUCGCUUCCUAUUUCUGAAGCUUGUUGUCGAGCUCCUUCGCUUCCUAUUAAAUGACUGACUCAUGGUUCUAAGAAUGAAAUGACUUUAGACCUGAAAGAAGACCCGAUCCGGGGCCACUUCGCUCUUCAAGCCUAUCGGUAAAGCAGCUUUCGCUGACUCUGACUUUGCCCUGGUCUACCUUCCCCAAAGAAAAAUCGAGCCCUCACUCUACUCUUGCGCUUCCUUUUCCACUCUUCUCCCUAAGGAAAGAGAGAAUUUGACUUCUACUCAGAUCAGAAAAUAGGGAAAGCUUUCUCCAACUCAUGAAAGGCGUAUGAGGCAUAUGAAAGAGAAAGAGCGGUAGUUCUCAGUCCCCUUAACCCGAUCUGACCCUAUACAAAGCGAUCUUGCUUAGAAAGUCUCUUUCCGCCACCAGAUCUGAUUCCUACUAAACUCAAUCUGACUCCGGAUCUUAUGCUCCGGCUCUCGAUGCUACCGCGUAGUGGGCCAUAGAUCUUUGCGCCUCCUCAAAAAGGGCAAUAUUCUUUGCGCCUUCUCUUCUGACUUCGGUUUUUGGAAGGUGGGCUUUCUUCUUCUUCUUUCUCAAACUAGACGCCCACUUAGCCCCGUCAGUGGCCCUUCUUUUUUGAUAUAUUUAUAUAGGCGCCCGCGAAGCAAGGCAUCCUUCAUAUUUCUCUGGGAUAGGCAGAGUACAAAAGAGAAGGAGAAGAUCGAUUGAGGAAAGCAUGAACUAUCGUUAUAGUUGUGGAAAGUAGAUCUUGAUUCUUCUUACCACCUUCUUUGAGAAAAACCAGCAAGAAUAAUGGCUUUGAUUCAAGCCGGUCAAAGUCUGGCAGAGUAGAAAAUUCGAACUUGCUUCAAGACAGAGAGUUCAAGCUAUGACGGUAGUUCUGGCGAAGUCUCUCUCUCUUCUUCCAUUAGAUGCAGUAGGGGAAUCAUCAUUCUCACUCCCUUUCCGAAGAGCUACUGACUGAGGAAGACUUGGUGCGAGACCGAGUUGGAUCGAAAGAAGCGGCUUUCCCGGAUUGAGUAGGGGACUAAGCUAUCUCAAGAGAGUAGGAGCCUCAAGCGCUUUCAAUUCGAAGUUAGAGUCAGUGGCGCUCAAUCUCCAGCUCCCCCGAGCAGCCUUUCCCGAUAGGGUCUUGAGUGAGUUAUUGCCUUUCUCCCUUUCAUAGGUUAAGUGAGUCACAACAAUCGUCAGCGAGAACUAUCUAUUUCUAUCAAGUAGGCUUACAGAGGGUAUUUCAUAAGACAGGAGAAUUCUCAGUGUCGGCUACGAAAGGCGAGACCAGUCAAAUUCUUUGACCCUAGGCUUGAUUUUCAUAUUCAAGAUUCCACUCGCAAAUUCUUUGCCCCUUAUUCAUUGAUUGCGCUUGCACGCCUAUUUUUUGGAUUUCACAGGUCCGAAGGACAGACAGGUUAAUAUGGAUAGGACUGAGGACGGAAUCAGACUUCUAAUAGAGUGUCCAGCUGACUAUCCAUUAGAAUAAGGCGAAGGCUCAAAGAAUCCCACUACGCGGGAUAGUCCGGAGGACUGGAAGGCGCAAAGAAUAUUGCCCAUUAGAGAAUUUGACUUUGGAGGAGGCGCCAUAAGACAGGGAUAUUCUUGAAUACUAUUACUUCUUAUUUGACGUUAGGCUCAUAAUAUAGUAUGAACCCUUGCGCUCCUUAAGAGUCGCUUCGCUUCUCCCCUCUCCUUUCAGUCGUCCGGAGGCUCAAAGAAUGAUCGGAGCUUUUCAUAUUGCGGAAAAGAAGAAAGGCUCUUUGAAGAUUGAGAAAUCCAUAUUAAAUUAGUAAGCGGUAGCUUUCUUACAAAGGAAAGAUUGAACCGCGUAGUGGGUCUUUCAAAGAUUAUUAUCAAUAUCAAAACAUUUAAGCGGAAGCCUUGUUCUUCCAGCGCCUAUUCUUUGUGGUGGUCCGAGCUACCGGUACUACUUUCUCCUAAUUAGACUAAUGGAAGGAAGACCGUAACCUCCUAAGCGAGCACCCCUUGUCCCUAAUAAGAUCAAAGAGCUUCUCGCCCCUUGCUUGAUCUUCCCCUGGAACCCACGGAGCGGUGGGGUUCAGAUCAGAGUGCCAUGAACAGACUGACGGAAAGAAUGAAAGACCGAUCGUCUAGUAAAUGAGAUGCCCAUUGAUACCCUUUUUCGAUGCAUGCAAAUGGACUGUCGACAAAAGAUAAUAUAGAAAAAUCAGUGAUUUUCCUCUUUUCAUUGCUUCCACCUGCGAACAUUCCCCCUUGAAUCAGUACUCUAAUCUAAGAAAGGGUCCGGGUCGUAUUCUAUCUUUCAUGAUCAAAGAGGAUGAAAUGCUGCUCGACAAGAGGGGUUGCUGUCUAACUUCAAGAAGUAUUGAAAGGUAAGACCUAUAAGAAAGAGGUCAGACCCAGAGACUGAUUUCUUUGAGUUCGCCUCUUCCUUUGGUCUUGAAUAUCUAGAUCUGAGUUCGUCGGCCUCAUUCAAGGCAUUUCACUCAAUUUCCUUUUAUUUACAUAAAAUCGCCUAGUUGAGACCGCGUAGUGGGGAUUUACUCGACUAUUAAAAACCUUGGGAAAUCCGAAGCUCUUUCCUCCCCAAGGCAGACCGAACUACAAGAGCUUUUUUCUAGAAUACGAAGAGGAGGAAUCGGAUGACGAAGGAUCAAUCAGGCAGGGAAAGGAAAGUCGGGCUUACUAGCCCGCCAUCUCAAGCUCAUCAGACCCACGUAGCGGUUCGGAGUCGGAGCGGGAAUAAAAGGAAGAGGUCUAAGUCGAGGGGUCUCCAGCUACCUGGGUAGGGUCGGCAGGUCGGGGCCGAGUGGGAGAUCCUAUUUCAGUGACUAACGAAAGAGCUUACCUCGAAGAAGAGAUGACGCAUCCUCAACUGCACUGCUACUGGUCUCGUCUUUCUCUACUGCUUGAAAGCUGACGCUUCUGACUCAAGAAAGACGGGUUAAAAAGACUAUGAAAGUCCGCCGAGACUGGUGUCUUUCACCCCCUAUUUCCGAUUUCAGUGACUAGAAAGAAAUACUAUACCGCGUAGUGGGACCCGAGCAAAGAAUAUUGCUUUAAAUAGUGGUCCGUCCGGAGGACUCAAGGAUUCCGCUAAAGUUUACCGAAGGCGCAAUGAAAUAUGCGGCGUGAGGUUAGGAUCAAAGAAUUUGAAGAGAAGAAAGGCUCUUUUCAGAUUUCGAGUUUACAAAUUAGGAGAAAGAAAUAGAAAGUGCUGAAUAAUGAACUCAUUAACGAUAAUGAAAGAAGCUCAAAAUGGGAAUGAAAAAGAAAGAGGUGAAUAUGGGAGAUUUCAGACAUCUUUGCUUAAUGAAGACGGAGGGAAAUCCCGGAAAAUGCUAGGUUUUGCCCAUAGGGAAGUAGCAAGAAAGAAAGUCAAAUGCCUUCUUUUUCACUCAAUUAUCGUGAAAUAGAUAAAACUGAAUAUGGAUAGUCCUUCGGACUGGUCCAUUAGAAAAAUCUAGUGUGUGGAAAUUCACAUUGAGAACUUAUAGUUUGUGGUCCUAAAUUCACGCUGGUACCGUAGUAGGUAAACUUUCAGGGGAAAGAGAAAGAACUUUAGGCUUUGUUGAUUUACUACGUGAUGAUUUUAUUGAAAAAGACCGAAGCCGCGGUAUUUAUUUCACUCAAGAUUGGGUCUCUUUACCAGGUGUUCUGCCAGUGGCUUCCGGUGGUAUUCACGUUUGGCAUAUGCCUGCUCUAACCGAGAUUUUUGGAGAUGAUUCUGUACUAGCGGAGGAACUUUGGGGCACGGGUAAUGCACCUGGUGCCGUAGCUAACCGAGUAGCUCUAGAAGCAUGUGUACAAGCUCGUAAUGAGGGACGUGAUCUUGCUCGUGAGGGUAAUGAAAUUAUCCGUGAGGCUAGUAAAUGGAGUCCUGAACUAGCUGCUGCUUGUGAAGUAUGGAAGGAGAUCAAAUUUGAAUUUGAGGCAAUGGAUACUUUGUAAUCCAGUAAUUACUCUUCGUUCUUUUAAUUGACUUUCAAUUAAACUAAACUCGGCCCAAUCUUUUACUAAAAGGAUUGAGCCGAAUACAAUACAAAGAUAUUAUUUUAUAUCUUUUUACUAGAUAUACAAAAUAGAAAAUUGAAAUGAGAAAGAACUGAAACAUUUUUUGAUUGUUGUGCUGGAUCCGCAAUUAAGCCUAUGGAUCCUUAGGAUUGGUGUAGUCGUUUAAUAUAUUAUAUCCCGUAGCCUCGUUUCAGAUCCGGGAUCGAGCCAAGUAUCACAACUUCUUCUACCCAUCCUGUAUAUUGUCCUUUUUGUUCUGUCUUGGAAUACAAAUUUUUGCUUUUUAGUAAACAUUAUAACGGAACCUUUUUUUUGAAGACCGACUCGUUAAUAGUUUUUAAUCCUAGUUCUUGGAUUUAGUGAUAGGAAAUGAGAUAUGAAAAUGAUUUCCUUUUUAUCGAAUGACUAUUCAUCUAUUGUAUUUUCAUGUAAAUAGGGGCAAGAAAGCUCUAUGGAAAAA
This 63753-nucleotide long non-coding RNA is filed under the name Cucumis sativus (cucumber). Its description in RNAcentral is "long non-coding RNA (CSAT_LNC000009)". The stretch from base 48132 to 48202 matches the Rfam family "tRNA". Lineage: Eukaryota; Viridiplantae; Streptophyta; Magnoliopsida; Cucurbitales; Cucurbitaceae. The record is from RNAcentral.